GAGGGUGUCAGUCCGUUCCGUUAGGCUGGUGGCAGUGCGGGCGGCAGCGCGGGCGAGAAGAGGCCGCUGCCGCCCGCGCGCGGACGAGAGGCCGGCGCCGGGCGAUGGCGCUCGCUCCCGGCGAGAGCGGGCGGUAUCGCCUCGCGCCCGCCCGAGCGAGAGGCGGGCGAGAGGGAGGCGAGGCACUGGCGGGGCGAGAGCGACGUGGCGCGAUCUGAUUGGUCCACGUGUGCUAGCCGUUGCAACUAGCCGUUUUUGACCGUUUGGAGUCCAAAAAAUUCGAAAAAAAUUGCAAAAAAUCACAAGUGAAGAGGAGGAAGAUGAGGAUGAGAUCGAGGAGUCCGAUUAGAGUUAUGUAAUUUUAUUUUAAUUAUCAUGUCAUUUUAUUUUAAUUAUUAUGUACUUUGUAAUUUUUUAAUUCAAUAAAAAUAUUAUGUUGUGUUUUUCGGAGCGUUGAAAUAAAUCCGCGUGAAUUACUUAAUUCUGAAAUAGAAAAGCUGACGUGGCUAUAGCCUGAGGCUGUAGCCUGCUGCAGCCUGUGUACUGGAGCAGCAAGGACGAGAGUGGAGGCGAGAGCUGACGUGGCAGGGACGAGAGGGAGGUUGUGCACUGGACUCAGCCUUAGGCAGGCCUCAUUACCACGAACACAUUGAACAACAAACUGGGCUAUCGAGUUCCAUUUUCGUAUCAAAAGGCCCACUGUAUACUGACAAGAUAAAUGUGCAAAACAUAAGUACUCUAUCUAAAAGAAAAGUAGAAGAUGAAGUACAAUUCUAUUUAUACGAGCUCUUAUUGAAUUCUUAUCUCUUAAUAAGACUACAUAUACAUAUAAGAAAUCUGUGUUAUAAUUGCUAUUAUUUAGGAGGUGUUUGGUUUUUUAGGGUCUAAUUUUUAGUCUCUACGUUUUAUUCCAUUUUAGUUGAUAAAUUGUUAAAUACGUAAACUAAAACUCUUUUUUAGUUCCCGUAUUUACUAAUUUAGGAUGAAACAAAAUAGAGAGACUAAAAUAAGUUCGUAGACACCAAACACCUCAAUAAAGAACACAUAUUUAUUUAUAUAUACUGUACUUUUACCUACUAUGUUGAUUGUGAGAGACGCAUAGAAAAAAAAUCAUAGCCCAGUAUUAUUAGGAUACAUUCGUUUUAGUUUCAAUCUAUAUGGAUUAAAUGGGAUUGAGUGAAUUAAAAUUUAUAGCAAGUGAAAAUAUUUUCUAAUUUUUUCCUAAUUCCAUAGAAUACAAGAUAAGAAUAAGUGAAUACAGGGCCUUUAGCGGGCGGGCUCGGGCCUGGGCCGUUUCCGCGCACCUCGGGUUUAUGCAUCCUGAUGGCUGUCCGUAGAUGAGCGGGUAACGUCAAAGAACAGUAAAGGACAGUUCAUCGUUUGUGGUGGACGAAAAACACCGCAAGCCCGGAGUAAAAUAACAAAAGGUCAAAAAAUGGUUCGCUGCCGUGCGCGCCAGAGUGCCGCGCGGCACGCAGGUACAAGUCCCCGGUGGCUUACUCUUGACCGUUCCGUUAGCUGCGCUGUCGUGUCCCGACCGACCAUGCGUACCACCGGCACGAGUUCAAACCGUCCAGCCAACCACCAUAACUGCCCGGAAUUCGCCAUGGAGAGCGACGCGCGCGAAAAAAAAAAAAACCCACACCGGCCAUCGCCAUACGACACGGCACAUCGCGUUCGCGUUCUCUCCCACGCGACCGACGCGCGACGCCGACCACGGCGAGGUGUCCGCCCCCACGUCCAGCAGCGCACGUCGUAUCGGCUCGGCGCCCGGCCCGUCGGCCGCGCGGACGACGCCGCCUGUGUCAAUCUCGAUUCGUCGUGCGGGUCAGUGGUCACCCACCGCCACCGGCCACCGCCGAGCGGGGUGCACCGGGAAACUGCGAAAGAAAGAGACUGGCGUAAUUGCGUUAUCCAGAUAAGCCGGCGCGGCAUGUGCACGGUGCAUGCACGCGGCGGCACCGGGCCACGGCCCGGCGUUGAAGUCGGUUACGUACAGCAUGCCAGCGACCGAGGUGACUGGCGCUCAUUGGCGCCACUGAAUUAACAUUGCCCUGCCAUUAUCCGUUCCCAGCUGAUGACGACGCCAUGGAAAGCUCGCGGAAAACCUGUGCAAGUUCUUGGCUGACCGUUGAACGCCUUGAAUUGAUGUGCCGGUUAGGAGUAGUUUAUAUAUACAGUACUACAAACCUCAUCCAUACUUCCCAUAGACGAUACGAUAGGCCCAUACCGUACGUGCUUGCACGCGCGCUGACAGCCGAUCCAGCAUUACCCGAACAAUUCAAACUACUAUACUAUAAACGCGUUGCAUGUGUGCACAGUGUAAUUUUUAAGUGCAGAGCCAGCGGCUAUUCGUAAAUAAACUCGGAGCAGCAUACGAGUUGCGGAGGUCGUAGGCAUGGCCAUUGUUUAAUGCGAGCAUUUAUUUAAUAUAUUGAUUUUAAACAUAUUUUUAAAAACUACUAAUAUAUACACAUAAUAAUUAUUAGACUAAUUAAAACUUAUUUUUUUAUAAUAAACAUAUUUAGGUAUACUUACCGUACUGUUUUUUUAUAAAUCCAAUUAAAGUUGAAAUUGAUUGAUUACUAAAAGGAAAAUUUUGUUUUUUUUUAACAGAAGAAUAAAGUGAUUUGGCAAGGCGUCCAGACUCCACACUCCAGUGUCCACGAGUCCACGGGCCACGGCACCUUUGCCUACGACCAGCUCCGCCACCUCUGCAUGCGACAUGCUUGGUCAUUUCGCCUUAGCCUGACAAUGCUGUCUAAGUUUUUAUUGUUACUUAAAAAAUGAUGAUCGGUCUCUUUGCUGGUGGCGAAGAGCACGAUUACAAAAUAGCAGCUGCACAAAAGUGAACCAGAGGGAGAUAUAUGCUGAUGAGGCGUAGCAUUUUCACAGUGAAAAGUUGUGAGAAGCUAAACCGAAAAAACUAGCUGGUUGUUUCAGCUUCUGACUUUUCACGGUGACAAGUUAGCCGAGAAGCUCAAACAAAUAAGUUGUAAAGUAUAAUUUGGGUCAUUUUAAAAGGGAACCAAACAGACGCUAAUGUGUACUCGCGAGCUCUACCAAAGUGGUGGCCGUCGCUCCCUGCACCAUCAUCUAUAUAAGGUUUUAGUUUUGCUCUCAAUUCAUAUAAGGCCUUGUUCGGUUACAUGGGAUAUAAUUCCAUCAUGUAUUUAAUCCGGGUAUGGAUUGGGUGAAUUCAUAUCUCACACCCAAUCCCAUGGUGGGAUUAAAUCCAUCAACAAAUCUAUGUGACUUUCAAAGCUAGUUAUUCUUUUGAUCCAUAAAUUCUAAUGUAAACUUGUGCAAUAUCUCAUGGAUUUGUUCCAUACCUAAUAGGCUAUGGAUAGAAUCCAUGUCUUCCAUAGUUUAAAAAAUUCCCAAACCUUUGGGUUAUAUUCCAUGAUGGGUUUAACCGAAUAAAAAAAAUUAAGUAGUCAUGGAUUAUUUUGGGGCAUGGAUUGAGGCAUGGAUUUAAUUCCAAUUCAUGCUAAUCCAGAGCGGGAUUGGUGUAAACGAACAAAGCCUAAAUUGGAUGGGACUGAAUGAGGUUCAAUUCCAAACAAAUCAGAAUCUUUUAUAUUAUUUUCUAAUUACAUUCAAUCCACAUUAAAUAGAAAUAGUCUGGUUGCCUUACAUAUAACCAGUCUCACUUCAUUCAACAUGCACGCUCCCGCCGGCCAGGCUUAGCCAUGUAAGGUAGCAUGUCUGUUUGGUUGCAUACAUCAAAGUGUUGGAAAUAACAACAAUUUAGUGAUGAAUAAAAUAAUUUCGAUAAUAAUAAAAUGACUAUCAACAUGUUUCAUAAGCGUAUAACUCACUAAUAGUUUAUAAUCUAAUGCUAGUGUAUGAAGUGAAAGCAUCUAGGCCCCUGGUUGGUUUUAGUGAUUAAUGACAACGUAAUAUUAUAUGUGACUAACGUGUGUUUUGCAGAGACAAAUGGUAAGUUAGGUCACAUGACAGGUAAAAGCACUACAAUGUGAAAGCAAUCCCGGAGAUAAGAACUCGAAGCGACGGCUAAAACGACGGAACAAAAGGUGAAGGUCUACGGAGUCCGAGUGUCAAGGAGAUGUGGACACUCGCGAUUUAGUUAGGUCUUUUAUUCUCUUUUAGCCGUACUAUAAAGAGGGGUUGUCGAUGAGUAGUUUGACCAAGAGAGUUCUAGUGUAGUGUUGGUGCACAAUCACACUCAUACACAGUGCUAGGUGUCACUCUAGAACUCACAUACAAGUUAGAGCGAAAACCGAUUUGAAAAUCAGCUGAAAAACAAGACUUAGGGUUUCUGGCUUUGGGGCACCGGACUGUCCGGUGUGCACCGGACUGUCCGGUGCACCCUCUGCCAGGUGGGACCAGGCUGGUUCACAGCAGAGCCUUCCCAGUCGCAGAAACCCGAGAGCGCUGCCUUCGGAGAUGAAUUUUAGUGGCACACUGGACAUCGCACCGGACUGUCCGGUGUGCACCGGACAGUGGACUGUUCACUGUCCGGUGCGCCAUAAGUCCAACGGCUCUGUGUCAGAACUAGCCGUUGGAAGUGACCGUUGGCGCACCGGUGGCGCACCGUUGGCGCACCGGUGGCGCACCGGACUGUCCGGUGCGCCAUCGCGCAGCAAGUUUCCUGUAACGGCUAGUUGGUGGGUGAGGGCUAUUUAUACCCCUUCCACCCACCAUAUUCAAGGUCUUGCACUCCACAUUUAUUCCAGCACCUUGGUAGAGUAUUGCAAGCACCAAAAGCCUAGUGAGGAGAUUAGAGAAUCAUAAUCCGCGCUUGUUCCUCAUUAGCGCUAGUGAGAGCCACCUAGAGCACACACCACUUGCAUUAGGCUUCUCUUGGUCAAGCGAAAGUCUAUGGCUUGUUACUCUUGGUGAUCGGCAUCACCUAGACGGCUUGGUGGCGUUGGGAGCUCGGUGAUCACCGUGAAGAUCUUGUUGGUGACCCGACUCAAGUUUGUAAGCGGUCUCGAGGGAUCCACCGCGCCGGAGUGGCAAAGGAUCAUCUCGUAGUGAGCACUUGGUUCUUGCGAGGACCAAGGGGGAGCGAUACCCUUGCGCGGGUGCUCCAACGAGGACUAGUGGAGAGUGCCGACUCUUCGAUACCUCGGGAAAAAUUGGAGGAGUCUUCUAAACUUUGCUUUACAUUCCGCACUUAAUUCAAGCUAUUUACUUUGUGUAUUUGUUUAGCAAGUAUUUGAAGCAUUGUUUUAGCCUUGUUACAUUUCUAGUAUUAUUUUCUUAGUGCUAGUUGUUGGGGUGAAGUUGGGCUCUUGUUUAGCUCUUGCUUAGGUUUUAAUUAGUGUUGAUUUUUAGAAAAGCCCAAUUCACCCCCCCUCUUGGGCAUCGUGAUCCUUUCAAUUGGUAUCAGAGCCUUGUUGCUCAUAGAUUAGCUUAACCGCUAGAGUUACGAUGUCCGGUGGGGAUGGACCUCCUCCCGUUUUUGAUGGUGACGAUUUUCCUUAUUGGAAAAUUCGUAUGGAAGCAUACUUAGAGGCUAUAGACAUUGGUGUCUAUAAAGCCGCCACACAAGGGUUUCCCCAACCUAGAGAUCCCACAAAUCUUGUAGGUGAUGAGUUCAAUUAUGAGAAAUGGAAUGCGAAGGCCAAAAACACCCUUUUUAGAGGCCUUUGCAAAGAUGUGUUCAAUAGAGUUCGGAAUCAUAAAAAUGCUCAUGAUUUGUGGAUGGACAUUUGUGCUCUACACGAAGGAACUAGAAGUGAACGUGAGGAAAGAUAUCACAUAGCUAUGCGAAAGUUAAAUUCUUUUGAAAUGCUUGCUAAUGAAAAUGCAAACGCUAUGUACUCACGACUUAAUAUUCUUGUAGAGGAAGUCAAUGGAUUGGGGCUUACUCAAAUCUCACAACCGGAUGUUGUGAGGAAGAUUCUCAGUGUCCUCCCAAUAGACAAAUAUGGACACAUUGUCACUGUGCUACAUCAAAUGGAUCUUUCGGUUACCACACCUACACAAAUUUUGGGAAAGAUCAAUGCCCAUGAAAUGUACAUGCACAUCAACGACAAAGAAGAAUCAUCUUCCAAAAGAAAGGAUUUGGCCCUCAAAGCAAAUCAUGAAAGAAAAGGAAAAGCAAAAAUACAAGUUGAGGAAGAAUCCUCAAGUGAUGAUGACCUUGAUGCAAACAUUGCCUUGAUGGUAAGGAAGACCACCAAGAUGUUGAAGAAGCUAAAUAGAGAAGGCAUCAAAUUUGAUUCAAGGAAGAAGAAGUUCUUUUCCAACAAAAGAAAGCCCAUCUCUGAGAUGGACUGCUACAACUGUGGUGAGCUUGGUCAUCUUGCUCAUCAAUGCAACAAGCCCAAGAAGAACAAGUUCAAGGGCAAGAAAGAAGAUGACAGUGAUGAUGAAAAGAAGGAAAAGAAAUUCUUCAAGAGGAAGGAUGGGAAGCAAAAGAGGUUCCACAAGAAGAAGAAUGGAAAGGCCUAUAUUGUUGGUGACUGGCUCACCGACGUCGAAUCAUCAAGUGGAUCUUCCUCAAGUGAAGAAGAGGAUGAUGAAAAAGUUGCGGCCAUCGCCGGGGACUUCUCUUCACCACCACCAUCGCCAUCAUCCACUUCUCACCUGUGCCUUAUGGCUAAGGGUGAACGAAAGGUACAAAAUGAUAUUGAUGAUGAUAGUGAUAGUGAUAGUGAUGAAGAAUUUGCUUCACCUUCAUAUGAUGAGUUAGCUGACUUACUUAAAGAAUAUACUCAAAUCAUUAGAAAGUCAAAAGCUAAAUGUGAUAGGUUGAAAAAUGAAAAUGAAUCUUUAAAUGCCAAGUAUGACAUAGUUAUAAAGGCUAGUGAUGAAAUAAAAGAAGAAAAUAAAACUAUGUCAUCAACUGUAAAUGAGCUCACAAUCUCCCUAAAAGAUGCUAAGGAAAAAUAUGACAAAUUAAAUGAAGCUAAUAGGGAGUUGCAAAAUAGACUAGUUAAGAUCAAGGAAGACUAUACUCAAAUUAAAUUUGAUCAUGACAAUCUUCUUGUUGAAAAUGAACUUUUAUCUUGCAAAACACAUGAGGCUAUUAACCCUGUUGUUAAGCUUGAUGUAGCAACCUCAUGUGAUGAUUUGAUUCAAGAAGAGCAAACUAGUCUACAUGCUGAAUUGACUGAAAAAGUUGAAGUCCUGACUUUAGACAACCAAAAAUUGAAGAAUUAUUUGACUGAUGCAACUACUAGAGGAAAAGUUGCUAUUGAGAACAAUGAUUUCAACAAUGAGUUGGCAGUGGAUAAUCAAAGGCUUAAGAAUGAGGUCAAGAAACUAAAAAGUGAAAAUGAACAUCUUGCAACAAGUGUGCAAAAGUUCAACAAGGGUCAAUACCUCCAAAAUGAGCUGCUUAUGAACACUGUUAUGAAAAAUAACAAGAGUGGUAUUGGAUACAAUGCUUUUGUGCAAAAGAAAUCUAUCACUCAAUACAAGCCAAAGCAGACUCACAAGCCUAUCAAAUGCUUUGAGUGUGGAAAUGAAGGUCAUUUUGCCCACAACUGCAAAGCUAAACCACCAACUCCCUUGCCUAAGCACUCAAGACCAUUUGCUUUCAAUGCUCACUAUGUUCUAAGAAAGGUUGCAAAUGGAAAGAUUAAGGUUACAUUCCUAGGUCCACCAAAUAAGAGUAGACCUAGACAAAUCUGGGUGGCAAAGUCCUUAAUUGAGAGAGUCACUGGUCCUAUGCAAUAUAGGGCUCUCAAAACUCAAGCUUGAAUUGUCUGUGAAUGUAGGUGAACUACAAGACCGGUGGGAGCCAUUGGGUUAUUGACAGUGGAUGCACACAACAUAUGACAGGCAACCCACGGAUGUUCACCUCAUUAGAUGAGAAUGUUGAUGGUCAAGAUAAAAUCACAUUUGGAGACAACUCAAAAGGAAAAGUACAAGGACUUGGCAAGGUGGCAAUCUCAAAUGACUUAUCAAUAUCAAAUGUUCUCUUAGUUGCACCUUUGAGCUUCAAUUUAUUAUCAGUGGGACAACUCUGUGAUCUUGGACUUCAAUGCUUAUUCACUCCAUCAGAGGUUAUUGUAACAAAAAUGGAUGAUGAAUCAAUGGUAUUCAAGGGUUUUAGAUACAACAACCUCUACUUAGUGGAUUUCACUUCAGAAGAUGCAGACUUAAGAACUUGCCUCUUCACCAAAGCUUCUCUUGGAUGGCUUUGGCAUAGGAGGCUUGCACAUGUUGGGAUGAGCACACUCAAGAAGGUAUUAAAGAAAGAUAUGGUUAGAGGAUUAAAGGAUGUGGUAUUUGAAAAGGACAAGCCAUGCAGUGCAUGUCAAGCUGGAAAGCAGGUUGCUAAUACACAUCCCACUAAAGCUUUCAUGUCAACAUCAAGGCCACUGGAACUACUUCAUAUGGAUUUAUUUGGACCUACAAAUUAUGUCAGUGCCGGUGGCAACCUCUACUGUCUAGUGAUUGUUGAUGACUUCUCAAGAUACACUUGGGUGUUCUUUCUCCAUGACAAAUCUGAAGUUGCAUCUAUAUUCAAGAAGUUUGCCAAGAAAGCUCAAAAUGAAUUUGAUUGCAAGAUUAAGAAGAUUAGAAGUGACAAUGGCAAAGAAUUUGACAACACCAACAUUCAUGAGUACUGUGAUGAAAUUGGGAUCAAGCAUGAAGUAUCUGCCACAUAUACACCUCAACAAAAUGGAGUUGUUGAAAGGAAAAAUAGGACCUUGAUCACUCUUGCAAGAACAAUGAUUGAUGAGUAUAACACACCGGAGAGGUUUUGGGCCGAAGCUGUCAACACUGCUUGCUAUGCAUCAAACAGGCUAUUUCCUCACCGGCUACUUGCGAAGACUCCUUAUGAACUGCUAAAUGGGAAAAAGCCAGACGUCUCUUUCUUCCGGGUGUUUGGGUGCAAAUGCUACAUCUACAAAAAACGCCAUCAUUUAGGGAAGUUUCAAAGACGUUGUGAUAUUGGUUUUCUUUUGGGUUAUUCAUUAAAGUCCAAAGCAUAUCGAGUAUUCAACCAUGCCACUGGCGUGGUAGAAGAAACAUAUGAUGUGGAAUUUGAUGAGACUAAUGGCUCCCAAGGAGCACUUGAAAAUCUUGAUGAUGUAGGUGAUGAGCCACUUAGGGAAGCAAUGAAGAACAUGCCUAUUGGAGCUAUCAAACCAAAAGAAGAUGAAGAAGAGGUGCGAAUCAUUGACAGGCCUUCUUCAUCAAAUGUACCACAAGAUGAUGAAAAAGAUGAGAGGCAUGCAAAUGAAGAUACAUUUGUCUCUCAUGAACAAGCAAGGGUACAAGCCGAAGAUGUUGAUGCUCCAGGAUCUUCUUCCCAAGUGGUUAACAGGAGAAACUCAUCACUACUUCAAGCUCAUCCUCAAAACCAAAUCAUCGGGAGUCCUUCACAAGGGGUUAUUACUCGAUCACAUAGACAUGCUAAUUUUAUUGAACAUCACUCUUUUGUUUCUUGUGUUGAGCCUACUUGUAUAGAUGAGGCGCUACAGGAUCCGGACUGGGUGAAUGCCAUGCAUGAAGAACUUAACAACUUCACCCGUAACGAAGUUUGGACCCUGGAGAAACCCCCACAAGAUGCAAGAAUCAUUGGAACAAAGUGGGUGUUCAGAAACAAACAAGAUGAUCAAGGUGUGAUCGUAAGAAACAAGGCAAGACUUGUCGCAAAGGGAUUCUCUCAAGUUGAAGGCUUAGAUUUUGGAGAGACCUUUGCACCGGUUGCUCGACUGGAAGCCAUCUGUAUCCUACUUGCAUAUGCAUCAUGCUAUGAUAUAAAACUUUAUCAAAUGGAUGUAAAAAGUGCAUUUUUAAAUGGUUUCAUAAAUGAACUUGUAUAUGUUGAGCAACCGCCUGGAUUUGAAGACCCUAGAUAUCCUAACCAUGCUUACAGGUUGUCCAAGGCGCUAUAUGGGCUAAAGCAAGCUCCAAGGGCUUGGUAUGAGCGUCUUCGCGACUUCCUCAUCGAAAAGGGCUUCAAAAUCGGGACCGUCGACACAACUCUCUUCACAAAGAAACAUAACGGUGAUAUUUUCAUUUGUCAAGUAUAUGUUGAUGAUAUAAUCUUUGGCUCGACAAAUGACUGUCAUUGCAAGGAAUUUGGUGAGUUGAUGUCGAAGGAGUUCGAGAUGUCAAUGAUUGGUGAGCUAACAUACUUCCUCGGCUUUCAAGUCAAGCAAAUGAAAGAUGGUAACUUUCUCUCUCAAGAGAAGUAUACCAAAGACUUGUUGAAAAGAUUCAACAUGGAGAAAUGCAAACCAAUCAAGACCCCCAUGCCUACAAAUGGACAUCUCGACUUAGAUGAGGGAGGUAACCCGGUUAAUCAAACUCUCUACCGUUCUAUGAUUGGUAGUUUAUUAUACCUUACCGCAUCUAGGCCCGAUAUUAUGUUUAGUGUCUGCAUGUGUGCUAGAUUUCAAUCGAAUCCUAAGAAAGCUCAUCUUCGCGCUGUUAAGAGAAUUCUUAGGUAUCUCAAGCACACCACAAGCGUUGGUUUGUGGUAUCCCAAAGGAGCUACUUUUGAUUUAAUUGGCUAUUCCGAUUCGGAUUAUGCCGGUUGCAAGAUUGAUAGGAAAAGUACUUCUGGGGGAUGCCAUCUGCUUGGUAGAUCACUAGUUUCAUGGACAUCCAAAAAGCAAAAUAGUGUUGCCUUGUCAACUGCCGAAGCGGAAUACAUUGCCGCAGGUGCUUGUUGCACACAGAUUUUAUAUAUGAAACAAACUCUUCUAGACUAUGGUGUAGUUCUAGAAAAAGUACCUUUGUUGUGUGAUAAUGAGAGUGCUGUUAAAAUUGCUAAUAAUCCUGUACAACACUCUCGCACCAAGCACAUUGAUAUCCGUCAUCACUUCCUUAGAGAUCAUGUUGCUAAAGGAGAUAUUAUUUUAGAAGGAGUGAGGUCGGAAGAUCAAUUAGCGGAUAUUUUCACUAAGCCACUUGAUAAGACCCGCUUUUGCAUGUUGAGGAAUGAACUAAAUAUCCUUGAUCUCAGAAAUUUUAUGUGAAAUGUCAAAUGGUGUUGUCACUUGCAUUGCAUAUUUAAAUUCCUUGUAUUGCAUCUAGGGCUUGUCUAACCUAGUUGAGAUAACCGCCAAUAAAGCGAGUGAAAAAGCUUAACUCGGGUCAAACUUGACAAGUCUUAGUUUUAAGCUUUUAGCACUUAAAUUCUUACUUUCAAGCAAUUAUUGAUUCUUGAAAUAUGCAUGAGGUACUGCACUUAGGGGGAGUAUUCAAAACUCAAAUCACUCAUGAAAAACCCCUAGUGCAAACCAAAAUGCAAAUUUCACCAUUUGCCUAUUUUCUCUAAAAAUUAUCUAGCCUAUGGCAAAAUAUUUUAAAAAAAAAUUUAUGAGGGUGCCAAUACCUGUCCCAACAAGUGUUCUUUUGUGUGAUUAUAAGUUGGGAUUUGGUUUGGUUAGGAGUUAGAUAGAAAAAUUCAAAAUUUUCCAAACUCCCCUCUGUCUGGGCUCACCGGACAGUCCGGUGUGCACCGGACACUGCACUGUGCAAUGUCCGGUGCACCGGCAGCCGCGCGCUAAAAGUCUUUUUCCUGUGCGCUGUCCGGUGGUUCACCGGACAGCUACUGUGCGCUGUCCGGUGUGCACCGGACAGCCACUGUAGACUGUCCGGUGUGCCCAUCUCGCGUUUUAAAAAAUCGCCCCCAGCCCGACCGAGCCAGGGGCUCUGUCUCAUUCCUCUGCCAGCACCCGCGUCCUCAAGCCCUCUGGCGGUUCCCAGCGCCCGCCGUCGACCUCUUCACUCCGGCGGCCUCCAUCUCCGGCGGCCUCCAUCUCCGGCGACCUCGUCCUCCUCCUCUCCCCUCCUCGGUGAGCGGCUCUCCCUCCUUUCUUUCUCGGUUCUCCUCUGUUUUGGUGAGCAGAGCCUCCCACCUCUUCAAUUCGUGCAAUCUCUUCAAAUCAUUGUGAAAUUUUGUGACUCCUGCUGGUGGAAUGCAUUGCAUUAUCUCCAUUGUGUAUCCCUGCUAACUCUUAGCUCCUUCGGGAGGGCAUUCCCACCUCAAAUGGCCAUAUUCCUAAAACCCUAAAUCCCCGCCCACCAAGUGUUCGGUGAAAUGCCCAAACCAGCCAAACUUGCUCCAAUUGAACCCAAAUUUUUCAGGCACCUUCACCACACUUCCAGUAACCUACUUGCCAAAUUUCACGCCAAUCCGAGACCCCAGGCUUAAAUUUAACCAAAAUUCUCGUUUUGCACGAUCGUUUCCGAGCCGAGUGCCCAAAACCCUAUUUCUUCGCCUAAAUUCAAACCAAGCACACACUUCACUCAGAUUGACCUAUAUAAACCUAUUCGUGAAGUAUCGGCUCAAUCCCAUAUCGUUUUGUGCCUCAAUUUGAAUUUCAAUCAUCCUAUGUCUCUAUUUGUCUGUCAAACGUCGUUUUCACGGCAUUUGACUUAUCAAUCGUCCCGUCUCGUGCCAUAUCUUUUUGUGUAUGUAUUUAUUCACAUUUCAUAUGCUUAUGACUAUGUGACUAAUACGUGCUCACCUCUUCUGUCAUUUCAGUGACCUUGUGUGACCGUGUGCCGUCUCCCGUCCUGCCUGGAUCGUCACCUCUAGUGUGAGCUUUCCAGGUAGACAUCUCACUCUUUGCUAAAUCUAUCGGUCAUUUUUUUCUCUGUGCUUAGUCUCUCUAUCUCAUUUGCAGACUUUAGUCCAGGAUGCCGCGCACAAAGAAUGCGUCGGCAUCAGGGGGUGGCGACGAUGAGGACCCUCGUCGCCCCUUCAGGCAGGUGAAGGGCAAGACUGUGUAUCUGGAGCAGCAGGAAGGCCGCAAGAAGCGGCGUUCAGACAGAGAGGCUCGUGCAGCAGCAGCAGCUGCAGCAGCCGCUGCACAGGCAGCACUUGGAGAUCAGCCGGAUGUUCCAUCAGAUCAGAUUGCUUUCCGUGCUCGUCGUCUCGCCUCCCGGUCUCGCUCCUCCACUCACACCUCCGCUUCCACUCCGCCACCCACUCUGCCUGCUCCAGUCACUCCUAUUGCUCCAUCCACCUCCACCGCCAUACCCACUACCAGCACCACGCCAGCUUCCACUGCUUCCCCUGCCCCCGCUCCCGCUUCAGCUCCACCUGUCCCUCCACCUCGCUUCCGGGAGCGCGAUGAGACUGAGGUCCGUCCACUGGGUUCGGAUCCUCGUCUAUUUGAUCUUCAGCGUGCCACUGCAGCCCGGGUACGUCGGUUCAGGUACGUACCCGUGGAGUCUUGGCUGCCAGCUCAGAGAGACCCAGCAGCAGGAGUUCUUUUCAGCACUCGGAUUCAGGAGUCUUUCUUCAGGGCACAGAUGUCAGCUCAGAUUGCGCUACGUGUUCACCGCCUCUUAGAUCUUCCAGCCUUCUUGCUAGCAGCCGGUGCUGAGUCUGAGGCGCAUCUCACAUAUUUGCCAGGCCUUCUAUCCUUUCUGACUAUCAGCGGCAGAUAUGUUGAGGAGUGGGUCCGCGUCUUCUAUGCCUUUGUUUGGAUUGACCCGGAUCAUCAUUGGAUGAGGUUCCGCUUUGAGCGCGAGGAUGUCACAAUCACUGCCGAUCAGAUCCGACAGCUAUUUGGCUUCCCUGUGUCGACGACUCGCCUGCACAGUCUCUGCUAUGGCACUUCAGAUCCUCCACGUCGCCCUCACGGCGGUGUGGCUCCAGGGACAGCUCACGUCGCAGCUCUGUUCCGCCCGCCUUUCACAGAUGGGUCGCGACGUUCUCCCGCAGAUUUCACCACAGCAGCAAAGUACUUAUAUGAGCUUAUCAGACGGACUCUCCUGCCUCGGAUGGGAUACAGGGAGGCUACUACUCAUAUUCAGCUAUGGCUCCUUGGUGCCCUGGUAUCCCACUCUGAGUUUGAUGUUGUGGACUUUCUGAUCUGUGAGAUUGAGGACACUGUUCUGGAUGGGAUUCGUGCUCGACGACAGCUGCCCUAUGCUCACUACUUGUGCCACAUCUUUGCGCAGCUGAUCCAGCCACCUCGUUUUCAGAGUACCCUUGAGGCCUCCCGCCUUGUGUUUGGAUCUUACCGUCCUGCUCCUGAGAUUCCAGUGCCAGCUUAUGCUCCUAUGUUUGACACUCAGGCCGAGGAUGCCGCACUUCGACAGUUUGACACCCAGGGUGCAGCAGAUGAUGAUGAUGAUGAUGAUGAUGAUUUUGGGAUUCCUCCUCCACCUCCGCCUCCUAUGCCUCCACGCUCUCAUGAUCAUGAGGCUGGGAGCUCUAGUGCUGCCCCUGCUACCCCUCAGGCUAUGGACCCUGCUCUAGCUUCGAUUCUUCAGACUCUCACUCAGCAGCAGGCUCAGCUGGCAGCCGAGCAGGCCCGUAUGUCCGAGAGGAUGCUCUCAAUGUUUCAGACUAUGCAGGACAGGCAGGAUUCACUUCAGCAGCAGCUUAUUCAGGAUAGGGCAGAGAAUAGGGCAUUCAUGGCCCUCAUGCUUCAGCAUUCGGGUAUCUCAGCACCUCCAGUUCAGUCUGCUCCGCCUUCUUCGCUUUACGCUCCAGUAGUGCCUUCAAUCUUGUCUGCACCCCCUGCUGUUACCUCUCCGCUCCGGCCGGUCACCUUGGCGUUCACUUCUCCAGUUCUCAGCUCUGUCUGCCCGCAGCCGCCAGUGCCACCAGCAUCUGCUGUUACCACUACCGCUGUGGCAGUAUCUGUGACUGCUUCUGCUCCGGUAGCUCCUGCAGCGCUGCCUGCGUCCGAGUCAGUACCAGCUCCAGCUUCUACCACAGAUCCUGGAUCCGAGACUGACUCUGACCCUCCGUCGGCGUUUGCUCUGCUACCUCGACCUCGACCGGAUGCGCCCCCGCCGCCUCCUCCUGCUUCAGAUGUUUAGGUUCAGGUCCCUUUUGGUGUUUGACGCCAAAGGGGGAGAGAUAUGAGUUGUGAGAGCUAGGGGGAGUUAGAGAGUUAGUAGAGAGUCAGUGUCCUUUUGAUGUAAUAUUUGUGCCUGCUACUCUCUGUUCUAGCUUGAUGUUUUUUGGCUCACAAACUCGUCAUAUACUCUCGUUGCUUAUGGUUGACUAUGUGUAUUACGUUUUCACCUUAUAUCAUAUCACCAGUCUUCUAGUUCUUGUUUCAUUAAUUUACUUUUUCUUUUAUAUGAACAAGAAUCUUAUGAUGUGUAUGCGCUCACUCUUAUUAUUAUGGUACACAUUCUUUCUGUCAAAAAUUACUGAGUAUAACUAACCAUUCUUUCAAUUGACAGAAUCUUCAAAACAAACUACUCUCACAAAACUUGUAGGGUUGUCAUCAAUCACCAAAAAGGGGGAGAUUGAAAGCAUCUAGGCCCCUGGUUGGUUUUAGUGAUUAAUGACAACGUAAUAUUAUAUGUGACUAACGUGUGUUUUGCAGAGACAAAUGGUAAGUUAGGUCACAUGACAGGUAAAAGCACUACAAUGUGAAAGCAAUCCCGGAGAUAAGAACUCGAAGCGACGGCUAAAACGACGGAACAAAAGGUGAAGGUCUACGGAGUCCGAGUGUCAAGGAGAUGUGGACACUCGCGAUUUAGUUAGGUCUUUUAUUCUCUUUUAGCCGUACUAUAAAGAGGGGUUGUCGAUGAGUAGUUUGACCAAGAGAGUUCUAGUGUAGUGUUGGUGCACAAUCACACUCAUACACAGUGCUAGGUGUCACUCUAGAACUCACAUACAAGUUAGAGCGAAAACCGAUUUGAAAAUCAGCUGAAAAACAAGACUUAGGGUUUCUGGCUUUGGGGCACCGGACUGUCCGGUGUGCACCGGACUGUCCGGUGCACCCUCUGCCAGGUGGGACCAGGCUGGUUCACAGCAGAGCCUUCCCAGUCGCAGAAACCCGAGAGCGCUGCCUUCGGAGAUGAAUUUUAGUGGCACACCGGACAUCGCACCGGACUGUCCGGUGUGCACCGGACAGUGGACUGUUCACUGUCCGGUGCGCCAUAAGUCCAACGGCUCUGUGUCAGAACUAGCCGUUGGAAGUGACCGUUGGCGCACCGGUGGCGCACCGUUGGCGCACCGGUGGCGCACCGGACUGUCCGGUGCGCCAUCGCGCAGCAAGUUUCCUGUAACGGCUAGUUGGUGGGUGAGGGCUAUUUAUACCCCUUCCACCCACCAUAUUCAAGGUCUUGCACUCCACAUUUAUUCCAGCACCUUGGUAGAGUAUUGCAAGCACCAAAAGCCUAGUGAGGAGAUUAGAGAAUCAUAAUCCGCGCUUGUUCCUCAUUAGCGCUAGUGAGAGCCACCUAGAGCACACACCACUUGCAUUAGGCUUCUCUUGGUCAAGCGAAAGUCUAUGGCUUGUUACUCUUGGUGAUCGGCAUCACCUAGACGGCUUGGUGGCGUUGGGAGCUCGGUGAUCACCGUGAAGAUCUUGUUGGUGACCCGACUCAAGUUUGUAAGCGGUCUCGAGGGAUCCACCGCGCCGGAGUGGCAAAGGAUCAUCUCGUAGUGAGCACUUGGUUCUUGCGAGGACCAAGGGGGAGCGAUACCCUUGCGCGGGUGCUCCAACGAGGACUAGUGGAGAGUGCCGACUCUUCGAUACCUCGGGAAAAAUUGGAGGAGUCUUCUAAACUUUGCUUUACAUUCCGCACUUAAUUCAAGCUAUUUACUUUGUGUAUUUGUUUAGCAAGUAUUUGAAGCAUUGUUUUAGCCUUGUUACAUUUCUAGUAUUAUUUUCUUAGUGCUAGUUGUUGGGGUGAAGUUGGGCUCUUGUUUAGCUCUUGCUUAGGUUUUAAUUAGUGUUGAUUUUUAGAAAAGCCCAAUUCACCCCCCCUCUUGGGCAUCGUGAUCCUUUCAUGAAGGAUUACGAAAAUAAACAACAGAGAAAGUAUAGCUAUUCUCACAGCAGGAUUGUCGGUACUAGAAUAACACAAAAAGUAGUGGAAGCAGACCAGCGAGAACGACGACGUCGGCGUGGAAAAAGGAGACAAACGGCGAUCAGUCGUGAUGGCGCUUCUCAAAAACCUGAUACGUACCUCACCCCGUGCAGGGACACGAGAGGAUGUAGUCUUCGGAGAUCAUACUCUCACAACCCUAAUGGCACGUCGGCAGUGGGAUGGAGAAGACGAAGGCAGCACAACACGUUGGUGUGAGGGGGAGAAAUCUGUACUUGAGAGAUACGUCCUCAAUAUGUACACAUGACCCAGCAAAAACAAGCAAGUGAUCGGUCGACUGUAAUCACAACACUAAUGUGAUUGAUUCACAGUCAAUCAAGAUCAAUAACAAUUAAUGCGAGAAUAAUUGAUUGUCAAAACAACCCAACUCAUUUUUUCAUGUAUGCAAAAUAUCAAGUGGCAAAAGAAAGUCAUGCACCCGCAAGGUUGGAGCGAGAAUUUGCCGAACCAUUCACGUUUAUGUCAUGCGUCUACGCCCAUUGCCCCGCUAGAGCCCAGCGAGGCAAGCGAGCACGCAUGUGGAUUCUCCCUUUUUCUCUUCUCAAUGGCUUCAACCAUGUGGAGACAACUCAAUUAUUUAAGUUGGUCUUACUCCAUCUACAGUAGCGAGGUGGUACUAAAGUUCUCACCAUACCAUGCACUAGUAACUCGCACGCGCCCCGCGCGUGUUUUUUUGCAAUAUAAGUAGAAAAAAUCGCAAUAUAAGUGAUAACAUGGUGCUCUAAUGCUUGUAAGAUGCACAUUAAUUAAACUAUUCACAUAUAUUACAAAAGCUAGAACAAAGGCUAGUUCUGACUGUGUCAACAUCUGAAAUCAAGUUGUUAUAUUUAUAUAAAUUAUCUUCAAAAGGUUGAUGCAUCCAUACACCAUACAUAAUUACACAGAGCUUACAAAAUAAACACCCAGAACUUCAAAGAGUGUUGAUGGUAGAAGUCGACAUUCAGUUUUGGGAAUAUUUGUGGGUAGGUUCUUCUUGAAUGUGCACGGGUUCUUCCUUGAUCCUAUUGAUCAGUUAUGAAAAAACAGUGAGCUAUUAUAUAUAUUUUACUCAUGAAUUAAUUAGCUAGACGGUCUGUCUCAUGAGCUUUGUAUUUAAGUAUUUCCACGCGAGGGGCCAACCUACAGAGUCCAUUGGAAAAUAGGUUAGUAAGCGGUCAGCAAUGUCUGUAAAUAAUUCUGCAAAGGAAAAUGUAUGUGUUGAAAUGUAUCGAGGAAAUGAACUGUUGUACAUAUGAAUCAAUGAAAUGCAAAUAAAAUAGGGAUAUGGUAGACGUGGUAAUUAAACCUGAUGGUAGCUUGCAGAAUUGGAGUUGAACCUGAUUUGGUGCAUAUAAAGAGAAAUCUACUGAGUUAGUUGUUAUUAGUGGCAUUUCUCUAACACACCGGAAUCGGACUGUGCUAAGGUGUGGCCAACUGGCCACUCCUUUACUUGGCCAUGUUUGGUUUGAGGGACUAAAGAUUAGUCCUUCUAUUUUAGUCUCAUUUAUUAAUCCAGCAACACGGAUUCGAAGUCGGCAAGCGAUACUUAAUUAUGAAUAAAAUAAUAAUAUUAUUUAUAAGACUAAAUAAAUACUAUCAGAUUGAUUAUAAAAUAGUUUUUUAUAAUGAAUUAUUUUAGAGUCGUAAAUAUAAAUACCGUUUAUUAAAAUUUUAUUUAGUUAGACGUGGACUACUCAAACCCUUGCACAAUUUAUUUAUAAUAGUUGCACUCGGCGAUAGAGGGAGUAGCAUUUCUGUCACGGCAAAAGCUUGGGAAUAUACUAGUAUCAAGAAACAUCUAGGAGCAUGAAGCUGCGCACCUGGUCCACGUGUCAGCUUACGAACUGAGAGGACGGUAUGGUAGCCCCGGGCGAGGCACACGUGAGCUCUCGUCGAGACGAUGCCGGUAGCCUCGUGUGGGUCGCCGGCUGCAAAUGCGCAGCAAGUGUUCCACGCCCCAGUCCCAGAGAGCAGUGCACAUUUCGUUUCGUUGGACCCCAGCACCCAGGACCAGGAGACCUAAUGGUUCCGGAACCAUCGUGGCCUCUCGUCCCAGUUCCGCCCUUCCGGUGAGAACUCGAGGGAGCAGCGAUGUGAGGUCACGAGAGCGCCGUGAGAACUCGGAACUCGUCUGGGCGGUCUAGACUCCACGCAGCGUAUAGACGACGUGGCCCAUUGUGAGGAUAUGACUGCAAGUCUGCAGAAGCCUUGGGAGUCCACUCUUGAGCCGCGAUCCAGCACGUCGUUCUUGAGUUGAGCAUGAACGUACUGCUUCCCGGAGCUAGUUCGCGGCUGUUAAAACUAUACGUUCCGGUGCUAGAACUAUAAAUCUGUGUUUUUUUAAAGGAAAUGACAAUCAAAGAUAGAAAUUUUGUCUUAGUAUUAAAUUAAUAAGGUAUUUAUGAGAGAGAGAGAGAGAAAACAGAGAGUAGGAAGGAUAGUAGAUGAGGGAAAAAAGGAUAUUCUCAUACAGGUAUGGAAUCAUUUGAUUGCCGUGAUCCCGUCACUAAUUUGUUUCCCGUUUUGAAGCUCAGAUGUCAUUGAGAUCUAAGGUGGAACGUCUCUUCGUCUCUUGCAAUGGGACGUGGACUUUGGUCCACCGACAGGGGGAAUAUAUUAUAUGUAAUAUAGUAAUCAAAUGCACAACCCCCCGGGUAAAAAGGGUUUAUCCAUUGCCUUCCCCUUUAUCGCAUUAAAUCUCGAUUCGACUAGUCCCAGUACGAAUAUGCAAGUAAAACCAGGAUCCCGCGAGGAAAACGAAAGUAAAAGCAAGAUCACCGGAUUGGAUAAUUAGUUUCUUAAUCAGGCGCCAAUUAGCGAGCGGAAAUUGCGACCAUAAAUAUAAAUAAACGAGGUGGCAGGGCCCGCCACUACAGAGAGAGCGUAGAGACAUGUUAUCUCCUCACUUCUCGGGCCUUCCUCCUGGAAUUCCCCAAACUGCCCCACCGAGAAACUUCCGUCCACGGCGUCCGGGCCGUCCGAUCUGUCUACGCCGCGACACGUGCGCCUCAGAUGGAAGAGCGGCCGUGCCCAGCGACCGACGCAACCGGGGACCAUUCCGCCCUCCGGCUAUCUAUUUAACUCGUCGCCAACCCAGGGCGGAAACCCCAAUCGCAAGCUCAAGCAAAAACACAAAGCGCUUAAACCACACUCAAACCAACCGCCAACAAACAGGCCUCCUAGUCCCGACCAGAACUUGCUCGUAGCCCCGCCCCCGAGAACCCGACAGCGCGAGAUGGCUCCCGAGCUGAUGACAGCCAAGAUGACCGCCAAGGCCGCGGCGGCGGCGGCGGCGGUGAAGCCUGCCACGAGGGCGUACGUGACGUUCCUUGCGGGCGACGGCGACUACUGGAAGGGCGUGGUGGGGCUGGCCAAGGGCCUGCGCAAGGUCCGCUCGGCCUACCCCCUGGUGGUGGCGGUGCUGCCCGACGUGCCCGAGUCCCACCGCCGCAUCCUCGUCUCGCAGGGCUGCGUCGUCCGCGAGAUCGAGCCCGUGUACCCGCCUGAGAACCAGACGCAGUUCGCCAUGGCGUACUACGUCAUCAACUACUCCAAGCUCCGCAUCUGGGAGGUACGUACGUACUGUGUGUGUGUGUGUGUUUUUUGUUUACUUUUUAGCCUUUUCUUUUGCCCAUAAUUGUUCUGUAGCAGUGCUCACGUCACGUGUCGAUUCGUGCAGUUCGUGGAGUACGAGAGGAUGGUGUACCUGGACGCGGACAUCCAGGUGUUCGAGAACAUCGACGGCCUGUUCGAGCUCGAGAAGGGGUACUUCUACGCGGUGAUGGACUGCUUCUGCGAGAAGACGUGGAGCCACACCCCGCAGUACAGGAUCGGCUACUGCCAGCAGUGCCCGGACAAGGUGGCGUGGCCAGCGGCGACCGCCGAGCUGGGCCCUCCGCCGUCGCUCUACUUCAACGCCGGCAUGUUCGUGCACGAGCCCAGCGUGGCCACCGCCAAGGCGCUCCUCGACACCCUCCGCGUGACUCCGCCCACCCCCUUCGCAGAGCAGGUGAGCGGUGUGAUCCAUGCGUGGCGUGCGUGCGUGCGUGCUCACUCUUCUUAAUUGGCACAGCAUACAGCAUGUGUGCUCACUCAUCUCGAUCGAAUUCCUCCCCCCGCAGGACUUCCUGAACAUGUUCUUCAGGGAUCAGUACAGGCCGAUCCCCAACGUGUACAACCUCGUGCUGGCCAUGCUCUGGAGGCACCCCGAGAACGUGCAGCUGGAGAAGGUGAAGGUCGUGCACUACUGCGCGGCGGGGUCCAAGCCGUGGAGGUUCACGGGCAAGGAGGCGAACAUGGACAGGGAGGACAUCAACGCCCUGGUGAACAAGUGGUGGGACAUCUACAACGACGAGACGCUGGACUUGAAGGGCCUGCCCUCGCUCUCGCCCGACGACGACGACGAGGUGGAGGCGGUGGCCAAGAAGCCGCUUCGCGCGGCCCUGGCGGAGGCCGGCACGGUCAAGUACGUCACCGCGCCCUCGGCCGCGUGAUCCCGUGCUCUGGCCUUCCCCCACCGCGCACCGUACCGGUGGCCGCGCGCUAUAGCUUGUGUGUGUGUGGCCAUCGCGGAACAUAAGAAGAAUCUCUCACUAUAAAGGCCUUCGUUCUGUGUUUGCAUUUUGGUUUUGGAUUAGGGUGUCUAAUUUUUCACCAGUUCCUUUUCCCCUUGUGUAAGUGUGGAGCUUACUAUAUAGCUAGCGCCCAUUUCAAGGUGCUGCAAGCGUUGGUCAGGAAUUGGGCUAGAGUGUUUGUCCUGUACCGAGGGAUUAUGUGUAUUUUUGCUAUUUCGCUCGGUAAAUUAAUACAAUAAUAAAAAAUAGGGAGCCGCAAAAUUAUGGCCAUAUUUCUGUCGGGUUCGGUGUCACUCGCAUUACUGGUGGGUGAUGUUACACUGUCUUUUUCAUGUUUUUUUUUGUCCCCCCCAGGCCCCAGAUUUCUUUUUGGACUUCCUUUUCCUUCGGUUUUAAGGUGGGGCUCUUGGCUGUUGUCAUUUCUUUUUCCGGCUCGCUCUUGAGAGUACACUACAGUACCCUGACGUUCCCGCACAGUGUUCACACAUUGCGCUGCGAUGCUUCUGAUUUGGAGGGUGACGUGGGAUUGGUAAGGGCGUCCGGAUACUGGAAAAUCCACCGGGAUGCGGAUGACAUGGCUCAAAUCUUGCACGGAUCUCAAGGCUGAGGCCUGGCCUCACCGAACAAUCAAAAUCACGAAAAUAGAGUGCUGCUGUUGUCGAUUUGUCGUGGUCUCUACGCUCCACCACAACACUUCAACAGCGUCUGGCAGCAAGCCCCUCACCUCUCACGGGAGAGAGAAAGAGAGCUCCCGGCCGGCGCGACCAGCGGUGGUCCAAAGAUCUAGCAGCGACGUACGGAGAACCUUGACGCGAGGUAUCAGCGAUCAGCGAGGCAGGUGUGGAAUCAGAGACAAGUGAUCGGGAACGGUAGAAUCGGGCGGAAUCAGGGAGCAACGAGGGUGGAAGGAAGAGAGAGCGAUGGGGACGGGUAUGUGCCUGCCGAGCGGAGGAAGAGAUUUCCUCUUUAUUUUCACGAUGGGCAUGGACGUCAGUCUCACCUUAAUGCCGAGAGCGGCUGUAAUACUAUGGUCGUUUUUUUCUCGGUACGAUUGACAAACCAUAGCCCAUAGAAAACUGCAAGUUGAUGUUUGGUUUGCGGAAAUAUAUGUUUUGUUUGCCGAAGUAUAACGCAAACGGAUUAUAUAAGAUAAUGGAUAUUGAUAAUUUUAUUUGGUUAAGCUCUUUUUAGCAGUACUAGGUACUACUCACUCCAUUUUUUUAUUUCUCGUGGUUUAAUUUAAAAAUAAACUAGCGGAUGACAAAUAUUCAAUAAUGGAGAUCAUACUAUCCAAUCUAAUUAUAACUAGUAAUCAUUACUGUCGGUAAAAGAUCUCAUUAUCAUUCUUUUAACAAUGUCUUAACCAAACAACACCUAAGAUCAAAUGUCCUUGUAGAACACCAUCUAGAUAUUCGAUAUUGUAUUUUCCAAUGUUGUUUCAAUUCAUAUUAUUAAAUAUCUAUGCAUCAUCACAAAAUUGAUCAAUGAAAAAAACAUAUAGGGAUUAGAGAGGUGGUAAUGGGUUCUAAUUUUUACACUAUAAAAUGUAAGAAUCAAAUUGAAUUGGGAUGGGACUAUUUCCAUUUAUUUAAAGUAAAAUUUAUUUAGUGUUCUAAUUUUUUGUGAGAAAUAUUUAGAUCGUGAUCUAUUACCAUCUCUAUAUAGGCCCUAGUAUCUAUAUGACCCUUGUGGGCCCGAGAGGGAACCAAAUAUACGACCUUCCUCAAGACACGCGAGCCCUAGUGACAUAUUAUGUCCGAGGUUUUAUCCAUUUGGUGCUCUAUGGCUUAAGAGGUCCUAAGAGCUUAUCGGGGACAUGCAAAGUCGAGAGACAUAAAUGUCAAAUGUAGCGAUACACGAGGACCCUUGAGUCCAUACACGGAUCUAGCUGUAGGACGGGUGGCCCCCUACCACUUCUAAGAGCAUCUCCAAGAGAGGCUCUAAACAUGGUCUUAUUUUAAAUAUAUGGCUCAAAACCAUAAAACAUUCUUCCAACAGCGGCUCUAUUUUAUAAAAUUUCAUCAAAUGGUUAUAGGGCUCGGUCUCUCGGGUCCUAAAUAUAGUACCCAUAUACUGGAGCCCUAUCCUCAUUUUCACUUAAUCUCUAACCAUUUAUUUCCUAAUAUCAUGGUUUAUUUCCUAAAUAGCAUUAUUUAAGGCCUGACUAUUGGAGUAAACAUUUUUUUUUGAGACCCUAAACAUUCUAAAUAUGGUCUUAUUUCAAAUUUUAGGACUCUAUUUUAGGGUUUGUUGUUGGAGAUGCUCUAAGUCCAUAGAACCUCAUUAGAGUUCAUCCUAAAUUUUGAAAUGUAUAUUGUGGAUAACUUAGUAAGAUUAUACAAUUGCUUUAAUUUAGUCCUUUCUAAAUUAUUUUUGUCUCCGUCCAGUCCUAAUCCACUAGGUGGCCCCAGAGAGCUUGAGUAGCCAAAACAGUCUCAGCUUAAAAAGCCUUUGCCAGCUUGAUCCAGUAAACAUCCAAGAAUAUUUUUCUCCAAUAAAUGACGCUACAGCACGUGCAGUUAACUAACUGUAAGAAAUCCAGCUAUGUAUGGACCUAAACCACCUGAACUGCUAACUUGGGAGAAGAAAUUUUGGACUUGUAUAUACAUGUUCAUUUACUUUAGAAUGGCAACAAAAAUAAUUCUGAUGCGACAUUAAGAUUCAGUCAGCUUCUAUUUUGAUCGUUAUCUUUGUAGUCAUCUCAAUUGUACCAGUCUGUAGUGGCUGCAAUCGACGUCACUGGAGAUCAAAUAAGCACAUCGCACGUGUAUAUCCACACUCCGGCCGGUUCCCUGGCAACUUGGUAAACCGAUCCCUCGGUCAAACGUCACUUAAUUCAAAUCGAGUGUCUAUAAUGCACCACCGGCCGGUGUACGUGCAGUGUACCAGUGUCGUGGCGCUCGUGCUGUCAGGUCGUCGUUUGUCUCCUUCCCCUGUGCUGCCGCGUACGCGUCCGGCAGGCAAAGACAAGCCCCGUAUAUUCAAAAUCGAGCAGCCAGUGCAGCACACAACCCCCGUCGCCAUACAGAAACAAGGACAGUGACUUUUUCUGGUGCCUUGGUGGAACGGGAAGAUCGAUUCAUCAAUAGCACAGGCACGUACGUAAGCAAACGCAAAGCAGAAGAUGACAAGAGUAGUAGUAGCAGUAGGCAGCAGAGGCGCUAGCUGCCCGCUCGGAGUGGGGGAGCAACUGAGUCACUGUGACCGUCCAUGUAUGUCAGGCCGUGUCUAAGAUUUCAGGGACUAAAGCUUAUCUAGAGACCCGUUUAACCCAUCUAUAUAAUAACUAUAUAUGCAUUGUAUAAUUAUACAUACACAUUUCGAGGGCUCAAAUGACAAUUACAAUUGGCUAGCUAUAGUAUGCGCGUACAUGCGAAGAUCGAUCAUCCACGACGUGUUUCGUUGUUUGUAGUCUUGUCCGGUCCUUUAACGACGUAGGUUGUAGAGGCCGAACUGCUCACUUAGUAUGGGACAGCUGGGCAACCAAACGAACACUGAUUGGCUAAAUUAAAUAAGUGUUUAAAUACAUUAAAGCUAAUAUUUAACAACUAAAAUUAGCUAAAGGCAUUCAAAUAGUUUAAUUAUAGUUUAACUAUUAACUACUCUUAACAAAUUAGAUAAUAGUUAGCUAACUAAUUUCAUUAGUAAAUUUUUAGCCAACUAGUUAUUUCAACAUCCACUAAAUAACUAAUGUUACAUUUAAAUAUUACUAGUCGAUUGCCCGUGCGUUGCGACGGCUUACAACAAUACCUAUGUAAACUAUCCACCAAAAAAAUUCAAGAUUUUUUAUUUAUUGUCUCCGCUUACCGUAUAAUAUUUUUUAAUUUAGCUAACUGGUGUUAUUAUUUACUCUAUCCAAUAUGUCUUGGUACAACACGAUCAAUAAAGUGAGCGAUUAGAAGAGAGUUCACAAUAACAGACUGAACGAAUAGAGAUUAUAAAUGACAUAAUUCCACCAUACAGAGACCAAAUAAGAGAAAGUUUGUGAGCUCAAGUUUUUAAAAUAAGUUACAUUAACUCAAACUUAUAAAAAUGAUAGAUCAAAAUAUGGAGUGAUUGCUAAAGUUAGACAUCAAUAAAAACUGGAUGCGCUCCAUAUAAAUUAUGCUAUUUCGUUGCAAUUACUAACGUUUAAAAGCAACAAAUAACCUUUCAUUUUACCGUUAGUGUGACAAAUCAUUGUUGCUACAUCUAAUUCAGCAAUCUCAAACACCAUGAAGUCCAUUGCGCCAAUGUGGUAUCAGAAACUACAUAAUGCUUGCAAGAGCCAAGAACGUCGUGCCGUGCUGGGGUUGUAGCCUUGGCCCGUAGUGCUGGUCCGACCCGACACGAUUAUAUAUUUUUUUAUUUUACAAAAAAAUAUAUACAUAUAUAUAAUUUAUAUUCAAUAUUAAAAACAUUUGAGCAUGAUGUUCUACUGGUUAGACAACUUUACUUAGUGUCUCCCGCCCUUCUUCCAUUAAGGAUAUGGGUUCGAACCCUAUCUCCUACACCAUUUUGUAAUAUUUUACGCUGAUUUAAUCAAAUGGGCCGACGGGCUGGCCCGACACAGUCAGCAGGCCACAUGACGUGCCUGGGCCAGAGUUAUGGCCUGCGGGGCGUCUAGCCCAUGUCGGAUCGCCGUUUAGUUAUUAGGUGUGCAGCGGAUUAAUUUGAAAUAGCUGUGAGAGGUUAUUUGUAAAAAGACACGUGACGGCCGUUGAAACUGGUGCUUUAAAUAUAGUAUAGAUAUACUUGACGGCUCUGGGCGGGCCACAGUUACGACCCUGGUCGCAUGUCGGACAAGCUGCCGCGGAAGCUGGGUGGUCGUGGCGGGAUGACACGCCGUAUCGCGCCACCUGGGCGCCACGCGCGGACGCGCGCCCAUUUGCGCGCAAGCACGCGGCCUUGCGAUGGCCAUGCACGGGGGCGGCGUGCACCUGAUUGGAUAACUACCAGGAUACUACCUGAUACCGUGACUUGCGACUUCCGAUGGGCGAUAGGCGAUGGCUGCCGUAGGUUUUAAUAUAUAAAUUGAUUAUGAAAAGAAAAAAGAACGCAGGGAGAUAUGUCGAUCAGUGGAUCCAUAUCAGGAUAUUUUGUCAUUCCUCUCCAUCGUUUAGGCCUAAUCAGCUUAUGUGCCAUCGGUAAUAGUGCUCAGAGAAUAACACCUGACCCUACAUCACUAAAUGCUUUUGCAGGAGACGGUGAUCGAAUAUACUAAGUUACCAACCGACAUGCUAACCACUUCGUGCUAAUAUUCGCGACACGUUUUUUCUUAAACAAGCUAGCCAGUGUCCCAGUGAUGUAGAUAUUGUGGUGCAGUUGAGAGAAGCCAAUCGUAAUUGGUGUCAGACAGAGAAAGAUGCAAUUGUACUUGGUGUCAGACAGAGAAUGAUGCAAAUCCAGAUAUGAUCAGGUAACUUAUUUUGAAGGUUGGAUGGAUCAGUUAAUUAAUUGACCUUCGUUGCCCACAUGUUUCCAAACCUACCUGGCUAGUGCCUACCUACCCGUGCUUCGUUUUGCUCCAUUUGGUGCCGCUGUCUGCCCGGUUCCAAGCUAAUAAGUUAUUAGCUGUUUUAGUUGGAUUGAGACAGUUUGAGAGACAUAACUAGCAGUUAGCCGAUACAUUAGCUAAUCCGUUCUAAACCUUUUAACUAAGGUUCUAUUUGGAUCCUCGCGACUAAUUGUUUGCCCGUGGCUGGCGAAUAAUUAGCUAGCAACAAUUCGUCAGGAUAUGUUUGAGUCUUGGCUAAUAGAUAUUUUUUCUCUUUACACCAUCUAUUAUCACCUAUUAGCAAGGUUAAAUGGCUAAUAAGCAAACAGUGGGUUUGAAGGCCAAUGUACUAAAAUUAGUCGGUAAACUGGUUGCCACACGAAUCCAACACAGAGGCUAAGAGCAUCUUCAAGAGACUAGUUAAAUAACUCGUCAAGUCGAAUUUUGACUACUCAAUAGCAAAAUAACUCUUCAACAGACUAGCUAUCUGACUCGCCAAAUUGGCUCUCUCACUAGCUAAAUCUAGCUAUACACUUGACUAGCAAAACUAGAUAGAUAGUCUAUUGGAGUAAUUAAGAUGUUAUGUAUAGAGUGUAAUCUUUAUAAAAAGUUAAAUAAAUAGUUAAAUAGAGAGGAAAAAAUGAAGAAUCUAUUGGUUUUAGAGAUUUGGAGCCGAAACUUAUUUUCUACUCUAUGGUUCAGCAGCAUACUCCUCUGUCGGUCUGUCCAGUCACGUAGGCGUCUGCUAUCCUCUGUUCAAUACGGAGCCACGUCUCGCAAAGGGCCAUUCACCAAACGCGGCCCAACUACCACGCCUCGGCGGACUGGAUGCAAGUCGGGCUUCCACCCUUCACGCGCGCUUGGCCCGCUACGACGCUUCGUCUUCGUCUGUCCACCAACCAGACCAACCUCCGGCCACGGGCUCACGGCGGCGAGCGGCCCCAGCUCCGAUGGCGCCAACGGUUGAGAUCAGCCACCUCACCUUCACCUACCCCGGCAUCGACGGCCGCCCGCCACCCGGCGCGCCACCGCUCAUCGAGGACGUCUGCUUCUCCCUCGACGCCGGCCAACGAUGCCUCCUCCUCGGCUCCAACGGCGCAGGUCACCCGCCUCUCCACCUGCUUCGUUUCUCUCGGUUGUGUCUCGGUGUUGAUUUAGCGCGGCGGCGGCUUCGUUUUCCCAUGCGAUAGGCAAGACGACGAUACUGAAGAUACUAGGCGGGAAGCACAUGGUGGAUCCGAGCAUGGUGCGGGUCCUGGGAAGGUCCGCCUUCCACGACACGGCACUCACCUCCUCCGGCGACCUCUCCUAUCUCGGCGGUGAGGUGAGACAGCGAUCUGAGAGUUCCUUUGUUCGGUCUCUGAAAUGUAAUGAGCAUGCCCAAUUUUGCCGUCGGAUCUAAUUUGUGUUAACUGUGGUGCAGUGGAGACGCGACGUGGCCUUUGCUGGCUACCAGGUGAACAUUCAGAUGGAUAUAUCGGCAGAGAAGAUGAUUUUUGGUAUUGCUGGUGUUGAUCCAAAGAGGAGAGACGAGCUUAUCAAGGCAGGUUAACUCUCAAAACCUGCAAAAUUUUCAUGACAUGUGCCCAUUAUUUUCAUGGAGCAGCAUGCCUGUACGUUUUCAGAUACAAGUUUUUAGGGAACUGCACUUCUAGAUUGCUAAUCGAUCACACAGUUUUAUCAUAGUACUCCAUCCCAAAAUAUUAGUCGUUGUAGUUCUUGAUUUUUAUGUCUAUUCAAAUAGAUGAUGAUGAAUCUAGACACAUAUGGAACACAUACAUUAAUUAUUGUAUGAAUUCAUUAAAAAGGUAAAACAAAUUUUAAUUUGGGAUGGAGGGAGUACAUAUUAAUUCUAGUUAUUGACCAUCUCAUUCUCCAAUGGGUUAUAUGUUUAUGCAGUCUAAAAUGUUUAGUAUGUACAAUGGUUAUUUGCUGUGAGAUUCCCUUUCUAUUAUUUUGGAUCCAGUGCUUCCACAAAUGUUUCCCCUUUGGGAAUCCCUUUUUUCUCGGGCCAGAAUAUGGUCACAUUUUUUCACUGGGCGUCACCAACGGGAAACAAUAUUAUUCGGGCUUGUUUGGAUGUGCUAACAGAGAAGGGCUAAUUGGGUGUUUGGCUAGAAUUUGAAAGCAGGAAGAAUUGGGUAUAAUGCCUGAAUGUAUUGUGUUGAACCCUUGAGCUGUAUAAGGGCUUGUUUGGUUCAUGACCACAACUAGCCAUACUACAGGCUAGUCGGGCCACAGUUUUUAAUGUAUUUCUUUGGUUCGCUGCCACAAAUAUGACGCACCACACUUUCUUCACAUGUCAGACUCAUUUUCUUGUCACAUGUCUGGCUUCAGUUUUGCUACCACAAUUUCUAAUUUUCUAUAGCAGCCAUAGCCCAUAGUUUUUCUAAGGUUAAGUGUGAUAAACUACGACACCAACUGGUAGAAACACCUCGGCUGCGCAGAUUAUAGGAGUGAGUAUCAAGUUGGCUGGACGAGCGGGAACGAAGGGGCGCCGUGCUGCCGCUCGGCUGGGAACUUAGGUGAGGUGCGGAACACAGGUGAGGUAGGGAACAAUCACUUCUUAGAUUGAUCAAUGCUUCCCAAUUGAUUACAGACGCCUGGACUUUAUAGUCCAACUCUAAACAGACUCCUUAAUCUUAGGAACUCUAACAGACUCUCCUUAAAAAACAGACUCCUUAAUAUUAGGAUCUCUAAACAGAUUCUCCUUAUCUAAGGAUCCUCCUAAUCCUUAUCUAUAUGCCCCUCUAUAAUGGGCCGACUAGAGGGCUGUUUAGGCCUCCUACUAUAAACCAUAACAUUUCUCCCUCCCUCGACGAACAGCUCGUCCUCGAGCUGAAACUGCGGAUAUGAAGCCUUGAACUGUUGUAGAGGUUCCCAUGUUGCAUCUACUGACUGAGUACCAUUCCAGUGCACCAACACCUGCCAUUGUCCGUGCUGCAUCCUUGCUCUUAUUAUCUUCUCUGGCGAUGGCAGAAGCCGGCCAUUUUGCAUAGGUGGGAGGUCUGGGGGCAGGACAGGAGGGGUACCCCGGAAAGGCUUAAGGAGUCCCACGUGAAAGACAUCAUGAAUUUGUGCCCCUUCUGGUAACUCCAGACGAUACGCUACUGCGCCCACGCGCUCAAGAAUACGAAAUGGUCCCGCAUAUCGCGGUCCCAAUUUCCCUUUGGGUCGUUCGACCAGUGACUGAGCUUGUCGAUUGAGGAGACGGAGCCAGACCCAGUCAUCCACAUCGAACUCGAGAUCCCGGUGUCGGCCAUCAUAAAACUUUUUGGCAUGCUCUUGAGCUUGCAGCAGCCUAUCUCUGACUUCCCCUAGAAAUAUAUCUCUUUCCCAUAGCAUAUCAUCCACAACUUGAGUGUCUGCUGUCCCCUGCUUAUAUGGAAUGAGAGGUGGUGGAUCCCUGCCAUAUACUACACGAAAAGGAGUUGUCUUCAAUGCUGAGUGGUAUGAUGUAUUGUAACAGUAUUCCGCGCAUGCAAGCCAGUCCACCCAAGCUCUUGGCCUGUCUCCCGUGAUGCACCUCAAAUACAUGGCAAUAGUUUUGUUGACUGCUUCCGACUGACCAUCAGUUUGGGGGUGAAAAGCAGUACUCAUUCUUAACUUGACACCUGUUAGCUUGAACAGAUCCCUCCAGAUAUGUCCGGUGAAAACUGGAUCUCUAUCGCUGACUAUGGAACUUGGGAACCCAUGCAGCCGCACUAUGUCAAUAAAAAAUGCUCGUGCCACAGUCGCAGCUGUGUAAGGAUGACUGAGGGCAAUAAAGUGGGCAUAUUUAGAGAACCGAUCAACCACUGUUAAUAUGACAGACUUACCAUGGACCUUUGGUAAACCCUCAAUGAAAUCCAUUGAGAUGUCUGUCCAUAUUUGUAUUGGGACUUCCAGCGGUUGGAGGAGCCCUGCGGGAUGCAGCGACUCUGUUUUGUUCCUCUGACAGAUUGCACAUGAUUUGACCCAAUCCUGUACCAGUGUCCUAUCCUUGUGAAUGAAGAAAUCAGCUCUUAAUCGAUGCAGCGUCUUUUGUACUCCACCAUGUCCUGCUGAGUGUGUGGCCUCCAGUAUUGAGGGAAUGAGUUUGGAUGAUGUUGGGAUAAACACCCUGCGGCCAUGCAGUAUCAAGCCUUCCCGUAUCUGCCAUGGGGCCUCUAGGGAUCCCUCUGUAAUCUGAGCCUGGAGGAGUUUCCACUCAUCAUUAUUAGCACAUUCUGCCUGCAAUUCUUGGUACAGCUGGAAUGUUGGGGUUGAUAUGGUAUGGACUGAACUUUCAGUUGUGUCCCUGCGAGAUAAAGAAUCAGCCACUGUGUUGAGUCGUCCUGCCCGAUAUUCCACUGUGAAGUCAAAGCCAAACAACUUACUAAUCCACUGAUGUUGUGGUACCGUGGAUAGUCGUUGAUCUAGUAUGAACUUGAGACUGAAAUGGUCAGUUCGUACCACAAAUCGUCUGCCCCAUAAAUAAGGACGCCAAUGACGUAUUGCCUGUACCAACCCAAUGAGCUCGCGCUCAUAUGCUGCCAAUUUUAUGUGUCGGGCUGCAAAUGGCCGGCUAAAAAAAAGCUAUUGGGCCGUGAUCUUGGUGUAGGACAGCACCAAACCCCGAGCCCGAGGCAUCACAAUCCACAGUGAAAGUCCGUUCAAAGUCAGGAAGCUGCAGGACUGGUGCUGAUGAGAGUGCCCGUUUGAGCGCUUGGAAGGCGGAGUCGGCUUCUGGAGACCACUGAAAGCCUUCUUUCUUUAGGAGUUUGGUUAACGGUGCAGCGAUUAACCCAAAUUCCUUGAUAAAUUUCCGGUAGUAGCCUGCCAAUCCCAGAAAUCCCCGCAGUCCUCGUGGUGCCUUUGGGAUCGGCCAAGAAGUAACUGCUUCCACCUUGUUGCUGUCCAUAGCCACUCCUUUAGCUGAGAUGAUGUGCCCUAAAUAAGCAACGGAUGUCGCACCGAAUUCGCAUUUGGACUGUUUGACAAACAAAUUGUUGGUCAGCAGGGUCUGUAGGACAGCCUUGACAUGUAUGAGGUGGUCUGACCAUGUGGCACUAUAGAUGAGGAUGUCAUCAAAGAAUACUAGGACAAACCGGCGAAGGAACUGACCCAGUACUUCAUUCAUCAACGCCUGAAAUGUCGCUGGGGCAUUUGAGAGACCAAAUGGCAUAACCAGAAACUCAAAGUGCCCAUGGUGUGUCCUGAAGGCUGUUUUGUGUACGUCUUCUGGAUGAACACGGACUUGAUGGUAGCCGGAUCGGAGGUCCAAUUUAGUGAAGAAAUGUGCCCCUUGCAGUUCAUCUAGCAGCUCAUCAACCACGGGUAUAGGGAAUUUGUCUUUGACUGUUUUCUCAUUCAGUGCUCUAUAAUCAAUGCAGAAGCGCCAUGAUUUGUCCCUCUUUUUCACUAGGAGUACUGGAGCUGAAAAAGUUGAUGUGCUGUAGCGGAUAAUCCCCUGUUGUAACAUGGUUGUGCAUUGUGCCUCCAAUUCAUCCUUUUGAAGCUGUGGGUACCUAUAUGGCCUAACUGCAACGGGUGCUGUUCCUGGCAAAAGGUGGAUCCUGUGAUCACACCUUCUUGCUGGAGGAAGGUCACUGGGCGUAGCAAACACCUUCUGAAAUUGCAGGAGCAGACGAUCCAUCAUCGGUUUGGUGGUUGUGAUAUCUGUGCUAAUUGUUCUCACUGCUGGGUACACAUUAAUGGCCUUCCGAUCUGAUCCCAGUCCUUUCCACACAAUCCGUUGUCCCCUUCUCCAGAAAGCUAGGCACAGGUUCUCGAGGUCCCAAAGUGUUGGCCCCAAAGUGCGCAAGAAUUUGACCCCGAGAAUGAUGUCGAAAGAAUCAAUUGGGAUGGCGUAAGCAUCCAUCAGAAAGUCUUCCUGGCCGAUAGUCAAGCUGAUGCUGUUGGAGAGCUUACAACACAUGAUUUUGUCCCCAUUGGCCACAGAUGUCUGGAGGGCUGGGCUUGGCUGGUAGUCCAGUUUCAGAGCGCGUGCCGUGUCUUGGUUGAUGAAGUUGUGAGUAGAUCCUGUGUCCAACAGGGCUGUAAGAGCUUUCCCCAUGAUAUGUACUUCCAGCUGCAAGGUACUCUCAUAAUGGAUACCCGUGAGGGCAUGUAAGGAGAUCACUGGUGUUGGGUCCCCUGGCACUGAAUCGGCCUCUAUAGAUUCAUCUUCCUCAUAGUCCGUGACCUCAAGAUAGAACAAUUUAGGGCAGCGAUGUCCACGGACAUACUGUUCAUCACAAUUAUAACAAAGUCCCUGGCGACGCCGCUCAGCCAUCUCAGCAGGCGUCAACUUCUUGAAUGUUCGCUGCUGUCCUGUACUGGGAGCUGCAGGAAUCGCUGGUUGAGGUGCCGGUACUGGUACAGACGGGCGCUGGGGUUGACACAUGGUCUUGUUGGUGGUUGAUGUCAGCUGGUGAUCGAGCACUUGUGACCUCCGUUCAUAUGCGCGCGCCAAACUCAAGGCGUGAUUGAUAUCCCGUGGUGCCAUGAGUUCCACGUCGAUCUUGAUACGCUCCGAAAGUCCAGCCGUAAACAGAUGUACCUUCUGCUCCUGUGACAGUGGAGCUGUUUGGGCUAGCAGGUCCCAAAAUCUCUCCUGGUAGUCAUCCACUGUCGUGCGGAAUGGAAGGCAUGCCAGUUCGCCGAGAGGAUUGCUGCGUAAUGGGGGCCCAAAGCAGAGUUGGCAAUGCUGCUUGAAGAGUUCCCAUGACAUGGAAGGUUCGUCGCGCUGCAGCUGGGUGUACCAUGUCCGGGCAAUUCCUGUCAUGUGAUAGGAUGCGAGACAGACUUUCUCAUCCUCCAGCGUGCGCUGACCUUCAAAGAAUUGUUCGCAUCGAUUGAGCCACUGGAGGGGGUCUUCCUUGCCGUCAAAUAGGGCAAAUUCGAGGCGAUGGAAGCGAGGAACUCCUGCAGUAGGAGUAUGGGGAAUGGUGUUGAGAGAUGGCAAUGUAGGUGGUGGAUAAUGUGGGAUGGGCGAAGGGGAAUGUGGCAAUGGUAGAAGAUGGAUUGGGAGCUGGGUGGUGGUGGGUGGUGGCACAUCAUCAGUUGGCGUCGUGGUGGGGGGUAUGCCUCCAUACCCGGGCAAGCCAUAGGGGCAGCUUGCUGGAAGGGACAGCGCCGCUGAUGCAGGCGGAGUCUCCACUGCUGCAAUGCGCGAGGACAUGGAGGACAUCUGCGUUGCGAAGGCCCCUAGUUGGCGCUGGACUUCGGCAAGGGCGGUGGUGAUCGCUGCCAACUCCGACGCCUGGGUGGCGGACGCUGCACUGUCGUCGGUGUUGGAUCCUGGCAUCUCCGAUACCAAAUUGGUAGAAACACCUCAGCUGCGCAGAUUAUAGGAGUGAGUAUCAAGUUGGCUGGACGAGCGGGAACGAAGGGGCGCCGUGCUGCCGCUCGGCUGGGAACUUAGGUGAGGUGCGGAACACAUGUGAGGCAGGGAACAAUCACUUCUUAGAUUGAUCAAUGCUUCCCAAUUGAUUACAGACGCCUGGACUUUAUAGUCCAACUCUAAACAGACUCCUUAAUCUUAGGAACUCUAACAGACUCUCCUUAAAAAACAGACUCCUUAAUAUUAGGAUCUCUAAACAGAUUCUCCUUAUCUAAGGAUCCUCCUAAUCCUUAUCUAUAUGUCCCUCUAUAAUGGGCCGACUAGAGGGCUGUUUAGGCCUCCUACUAUAAACCAUAACACCAACUAAACAGGCCCUUAAAUAUAGUACAAGACAUGGGGGCAAGAUAUUUCCAUGGUACAUAUGGCAAUACGAGAUUCCAAUGUACCUAACUACCAAAUACCUCCCUUCCCCCCAAGUCAUAAUGGGAGCAUGGCAGAUGGUCAAACUGGGGAAAAAGGUAAAGACUAACAUCCCUCGCAGCCAUCGUGACGUCACAAUGCAGAUUUUGCGACAAGAGUAGAAACCGACAAGUAGCUCAUGUGGAUGGACGUAUCCACAAGGGCUCACACGUCAUCCAUCUACAACGUUGGCAUCCAGAAGGUGGCAACCGUAGGCACAGACGGCCUAAGACCUAUAUCGAGCAUGAUGAGGACCAGCGAUAGCGACUGUGGUGAUGGCUUGACCAUGAGCAAAGUCAUUGCUGCCUGGGAAGGCACAAAACGACGACGCCAUUGCAGAAGCUAAGCAGGGUGGUGUGGUGGCCUGGUGCCUAUGAUGCUGGAGAUUGAAGAUGAUCGAGGGACUUUGAGGAGAGGCGGAGGAUGUAGAAGAACACAGGGUGGGAAGUGAGCCUGACGGGAUGGCACAACAGCCUGGCAGUGCCCAUCGUAUGUGUUCCUCUGAUUUGCUGCUGCUUGAUAACACUAGGUGGUGAAUCAAUCAAAUCAGCCGCCAAAACCGAGGGCUGGUCCCUGACAAAGAUUGAUCUCCCUAGUCCCUAGAGGCGACGAGAGCCUUAAGGUUCAGGAAAUACCUAAAGUCGUGAUACCAUGAAGUAGGACGCGAUCGUUAUAAUGCAUGGAUGCUUUACAUUGAGCCCUUGGACGGUAUAAGUAGAGUACAUGACUUGGGGGAAAGAUGCUUCUUUGAUACAUAUUGUAGUGUGAGAUUAUAAUAUCCCUUACUACCAAAUGUAUUCUAAGGAAAUUAGCCAUUAGCCUCACCUAUUGCCGUUAGCCCAUUCAAACAUGUGGGGCCUAAUAACAGGGCUAUUUUUUUCAGACACAUUCUAUCCGUUAGCUCAUUAGCUGGCCAAAAAGGGCUAAUUUUCGCUAAUUUUAGCUAGAUAGUUAUUAGCCUGUCCAAGCAGGUACUAAUCUGCUCCGGCCACGUGCCGCACGCCUUCUAGGUUGCCGACCGCCGCCGAUGCCCCCUCUCCCCGCCGAUGCUGCCGCUCCAGCGCCCCCUCACGACCACUUUUCCCUCCCUAGCGUGGGCGCCAGCAGACAGAGCUCUCUCUCCCACUCGCCUUAGGUGCCAGGUAACGCGAGGCAGACACCUUGCCUUGGCAGACCGCUUUAUCGCUUAGGUGACAGUGUCGCCUAAGCGUCGCCUUAAUAACUAUGCGCAAGUGUCUUCCUAUAAAGGGCGUACUAUUUAAGAAAGCUAAUUAGAACCAUUUUUUCUUGAUUACUGCCGUGUCAGUUAGGCCUAAAUGCAAAGGCAUGUAGAUUAAACAUCUAUUGGCUCUAGAUAACUGUAACACCCAGUUUGUAAUAUAUAUAAAAAAGGAGAAAAGUCAUUUCCUAUAUUUUAUGUGUGUAUUGAAUUUACUUAUCAUCACAUGUGAACACCAUAUUCAAACAACAAAUAAAUAAUAAAGAUAUAAGCCACCAAAUUAUGCAUCAUGCUGGAUUUUAUUUUGUGUGCAUAUUGUGAGAAAAUAAAAUAAAAAUAUGACAAGAAAUAUAUUAUAAAUAAAAGUAAGACCAUUAUGUUCAAAUUAUACUUUCAAUCUAAGAAGAAUUCACCAAAAUAUUUAAGUGUGAAAUUUGAAUUCAAAAGAGAUGGGAAAAAUAUAAAUCAGAAAAAGGAAAAGUAAAAUAAAAAGAAAAACUAGCACAUGGGCUGAAACCUACAGAACCGGCCCAUCUUCUUUUUAUUCCCUUCGCGCUGGCCGGCCCGUUUACACCCUCGCGUCUCACACUGUCGCGUGGGUCCCUGCUGUCAGCUCAUCCCUCCCCCAGGCGGGAUCUACUCGCACCGACAUGCCUGCCCCACUUGCAGCCUCUGCGCACCUGGACUCGACACUGUGUCACUGCCGGUGGGCCCUGGAUACCAGAAUUGUCUUCCCCGCCGUGUAAAUCCCUGGGCGCAACAGAACCCGCAGCCGCCGCCUCGGUGGUUGUGUCUGGCCGCGAAUUGCGCUGUGGAUCCCGGAGUUGGCCGAAUCCCACUGGUCGGACUCCUUCUCUGUGUUCGCAGCGUCGGGCGGAAACAGAAAUCCGCCGAACUCUGCGCGCGGCAAGAACGAUCCCGGCCGUGUUUCUCAUACGCGCGGACUCGGCCGAACGGCACACGCGGAAUUCAGAUGGAGCUCGCUUGGUCCGUUCGGUGCCUGGGGUCUCCCGAGGAUCUCGGUCGUCAGCUCACCCCUCCGGUGUAUAAAAGCCCGGCCCGUCCUCGUCUCAUCCUCCGCGUCGGCCGCCACUGACGGCGCUCGGCUCUUCCUCGUCGGCGGAUCCGUAUCCACGGUCUCCUCUACGUCCGUGUGGAUCUUGGUCCGCAGGCCGCGCAAGUCCUCUACACGGGAGCACGGGGGUGCGGGGCAGUGAGUUCGCCGGCGAAGAACCACCGUGCGAUGCUCAGGUGCCGCCAACUCGCGCUGCGUCGUGGACGAUGGUCUGUGAGUCCCGAUUCCUCGGUUAGUGACCCUCACCGUGCUCGUUGUGUUCCCAAUCGCGCGUACCACCUAUUCGAUUUGGGGAUUAGGCCCCAGGGUCCCGGAUUGCCAGCUCCGGCGAGGUGCGCCGCCAUGGGUACUAUGCCGUCGUGUCGGGGGUGGGGGAUCGCGUAUUCGCGUGGGUGCUGUGAUCCCGGAGAUCGACGGUUUGGAUUAAACGUUGGAUACCCCUCUGCUCAGUUGAAUCCGCACCGUCGAUAUGGCGAUGAUCGAUAUAGAUUACACCGUAAACCAUCGGGAAUGAUCUGGCCGUAGGUUUUAGAUCUUGCGGUCAGCAGCGCGUACCGGUUCGAUCUAUGUUAGAUAUAAUCGGGGCCGUAGAUUGUGGAUCGGGCGGACUGAAACACCCGAUGACCCUUUGCGGUGUUUAUUUUUCAAAAGAGCCCCCGUCUUUAGUAUAAAUAAACCCGCAGUCCACUCAGGGGAGUUCUGUGUCUGCGUAAAACUUAUGGUUUAGCCCCUGGACUCUCUGGUAAUGAUGCGCUUGGUCCAGAUAACAAGAAAAUCAAAUAAAUUCAUUUGGAAAAUACUUUUUAAUGCAAAAAUAAAUGCUAGAACUUGUAUAAAUCAUAGAAAAUUCAUAUGAACUCCGAAUUGACCCAUCCCAAUUUCUAUAAUUUUAUAAUAUUAUGGUUUAUCAAUUAGUGCCACUUAUUCGUCAUGAAAGCCACUUUAAAAAUUUAUUUCCUAACUAAUCUUAUAUCAAAUCCAUAAAACCUUAGGAAAUUCAUAACUCCUCCGUUUUAACUCCGAUUUGAUCCGUUCGAGUUGCGUUAGUCUCGUAGCAACGCAUAGUUUAUUAUUAUGCAGUUUGAUCUUAUGUUUGAUGUGAUGUUCAUUUUGCCUAUACCAUGUUUAUCUGUAUUGCUACGUUUAGCAGUGAGGACACGUGUCAUCUGAAGAGCAAGUUGGUACCUGGAAUCUCAAGUCUCAGGCAAGUUGUGCCCUUGAUCACUUCUUUUUACCCACUCAUGUUCUAAUUAAUCAUAAUGAUCUGCAUAGGUUAAUUUUGAUGGGACCCAAUAGGUUACCCUAGUUUGAUUAUCUUUAUACCUUGUUACCACUGAACUUUUUGGGUAGUACUUGCUAGUGCUUUAUGUGGUUUUGGGUAUGAAGAUUCAUUACUCAUGAUUAUACUUUUGUUAUCCAUUGUUAUUUAUCGUUCAUGAUAAGAUCAUUAUGUUAAUUGGAACAUGGAGCGACCACCCGGGAAAACAGUGCUACCACAAGGGUUUAAUGGGACGCCCUUGGCUGAUUAAUUAGGAAAGCUAGUGGAGGACUACCUUACCCGAAAGGGGCAAGGGCAGUAGGGGAGUGGUCAGUGUAGGGAGGCCCUCGGGAGGAUUUUGCUGCGAUGGCGGUCCUGCAAGGGAUUCCUGCAUUGGAGCUUCCUAUAAACUGUAGCGGGUUUUCUGAAGCUAGUGGAACUUUGUAAAGGCCUCGUAGUGUUACCCUGCCUCGCCUCCUCGGUAGAGGUGUAUGGGAAGUCGCGAUCGCUUGGCAGAUGGGUAACAUGACUUGUGGGUAAAGAUGCGCCACCUCUGCAGAGUGUAAAACUGGUAUACUAGCCGUGCUCACGGUCAUGAGCAGCUCGGACCCUCACAUGAUUAAAUUAUGGAACUUAAACUCAAUUUAUCAUAUGCAUUGCAUCGCAGGUGAGGUUGUUACUUUUGUUCUACAAUUUAAUUGGGUUGGUAUUUACUUAUACUUAGUAAUUGCUAAUAAAAUUUUGACCAACUUUAAAAGCAAUGCUCAGCUCUAACCAUCCUCUUUGGUAAGCCUUACACUUCACGUGAACUCCCACCUUUGGCGAGUUCAUGCACAUUAUUCCCCACAACUUGUUGAGCGAUGAACGUAUGUGAGCUCACUCUUGCUGUCUCACACCCCCCCACAGGUCAAGAACAGGUACCACAGGAUGAGGCGCAUGAAGGAUGCUGUGACGAGUUCUUGAGUGGUCUAGGUCGUCGUCUCCCAGUCAACUUUGGGUUGCUGGAUCGUUUCCUCAUAUGAUGUAAUUAUCUAAUUAUUUUGUAUAGAACUCCUGUUAUAUAGUAAAGAUGUGACAUUCGAUCCUGUGCCACUAUGCAUCAUAUGUGUGAGACUUGGUCCCAGCACACCUGAUGUUUAUGUUCGCGCCCGGGCUUUGGAUCCCUAAAACCCGGGUGUGACAAUAACCGUGUUUGCUAAUUAGAACUUCCCUCUUAAUAGUACGACUAUCUAUUCUAAACUCGAUCUUACACUUUAUUGCGUCUUGAUCGGCAAAACGAAAUGCCUAUUUAUACAUUUGCCUUGACACAUUGGAUUUUGUUUUUCUCUUUCUUCUUUUCAAUGUUAGGGCUCGCUGCAUUCAUCCAUCUCCAAGCCUUGCUCUUCAUAGGGCUUUUAGUUUGCAAGUCUUGAAUUCUGUAGAUGAUGUGUUGUUGGUAAUUUGAAUUGACUUCAUUAAACGUAAACUUUCGCAAAAGUCUACUGUGCCUUUGGUUUGCAAUGAAAGCUUGUUUUGUUCAACUACCAUUCUACCAUGUUUCAGAUUUUAGACAUCGACCUCACCUGGCGCAUGCACAAGGCAUCAGAUGGUCAGAGGAGACGUGUCCAGAUUUGCAUGGGACUUCUUAAGUCAUUCAAGGUUUGUUUUCCUUUUCCAUGUCUCAAAGGAUAUAAUGCUAUCAUUCACACUAUAAUUAAAAAAAUGCAAUGCAGGUUCUUCUUCUUGAUGAGAUCACAGUUGAUCUUGAUGUUCUGGCAAGAUCAAAUCUGUUAUCGUAUCUUAAAAAGGAAUGUGAGGAAAGAGGUGCAACAAUCAUCUAUGCCACACAUAUUUUUGAUGGUCUUGAUGAUUGGCCAACACACAUUGUAAGCUCCAUUGAAUCUUGUUGUUUAUAAGCUCAAGUAUUUCUUGUGGAAUUGUGGACUUAGAUGAUUAUUGUUUUUGUAUUUCAAGGUUUACAUUGCUCAUGGGAAACUGCAAUUAGCAGUGCCUUUGGAAAAGGUGAAAGAAAUGAGUCAGUUAUCUCUCAUGGUAAGUAUCGUCCAUCCAUAUAGAACAGUAUGCUUUAGCACAUCAUGGACAUUCACAUUAUGCUUUAGUACCGCAUGGCCAUUCAGAUUUGCGUUUGCAUUUCAGAGGACUGUGGAGAGCUGGUUGAGGAAAGAAAGAAAUGAGGACAGGAGGAGGAGAAAGGAGCGAAAGGAGAAAGGCCUCCCAGAAUUCGACAAGGUUGUCGAGGGUAGUCGGGUUAUAGGUGAUCCAGCAAAGAACGCAGACAGAGUUAUAAACAACGGGUGGGCAGCUGGACGGCUUACCUCGACGAUUGCAGGAGAGGAAAAUUUCGUCUUCAGCUCUAACAGCGUACUUAGGCAAUGAUCUAGCUUUGUUUUCCUUUAUCUAUACAUUGAAAACGGUAAAUAAUAGUCUUGCGGAUCCAAUAGAGAUAUCGUUGGAGCUUUGUCAUUUAUAGCGAAAGUUCUGUCAGGAAAGGAGAAUUCACUCUAUAUAGUUUGGAUUUGAGGAUUUACACUGUAAUUUUAUUCGCAGCUGAGUGUUCGAGAAAAAGAAAUUGCACUGUAACAACAUAUAUAUACUGCACCAAAUAUUUGUGUGGUCAUAUUUAUUUCUACAGGGGCUACGCAUAACUUGGGUCAGGUUUCAGUUGCUACGUUUGUUCAUACAUAAAUGCAAGGCAAGGGAACUGUAUGGUCAAAGCGGAACAACACACCAUGCUACGUUUGAAAAACAAGGAUUAUGAUUUUUACUUUUCUAAAUUUUUAGGCCUUGCUAAUAGUAGAGAUUUUGAAUCGCUCUGGAUUUAAACCCAUCCAAUCCACGUGCAUUGAGUUGAAAAGGAACAUGCAAAUAAAUAAACACACCAACUACAACUUUUCAUUUGCCGCAAAGAUCAUGUGGGCGUUCACCAUGGGCGUUCAUCAUAUACACAGUAGAUGCCCAGAACCACUUCUCGGUACGUCCCUCCAUGCGCACAUGCUACACCCCUUCACAGGCACAUAUAGCAAGGGUUGAUGCUGCGAUAUGGACCAUAUGGGCCAAUUUUACAACUACUGCGGGUUUCCAACGGGCAGCUCACCACACACGCUGAUGUCUAGAACUAGAACCAUCUUUACACACCCUUCUUGUAACUAACAUAAUUCUACUGCCAACAGCGGACCAAGGUAAAGCAACUACUACGCCUUUUUUUUCUUUAAAAUGUUACUGUGUUCAUUUGUAUCUGUGGACAUCAAUUUAGCAACAGUAUUUACCAACUCCAUAAUUGUUUCUUGUGUUGUGUGUGAACAUGUAAAGUUUCAGAGAAAAAACGAAGUGCAAUAUAUGUUUCCAAGUGAGACAAGGUCUUUGUUUCAGAAUAACCAGCACCGGAUUUUAUUGUCACAACUGAAGUAACCACGCUGAUCCAUGAACUGCAGGUACAAGUCUAAAGAAUGUGGCGUAGCUUUGUAACAUCUGCAACAUCCGUAGUCUUUCAUGAGUCUAAAGGUACACCGGUUCGGUAACAUAGUUGCAGUUAUCACCGUUACUAUUUGAAAAUUGGCUUGAAAUGGAAAAAAAAACCCAUUCCAACUGCCAUUUGAAAAUCGACCUGAAUCGAAGUAAAUUCCAACUUUGUAACUGUAACCAGCAUAAGAAUAUUUGCUCAAGAUUGAUUGUUAGUGCACAUUGAAGUGCCGUAGUUCCAAGGAUGGCUGCACAGCUGCAGCCUGCAGUCAGCAAUGAGACAAACCUUGCAAACUGAUGUUACUUUAGAUUAGAUUAGAUGUUACUUUAGAUUAGAUUAGAUGACCCGGUAGCUAUAACUCCACGUUGUCAAUCGGUAAUUUCCAUGUUUCACUGCAUUAAGGUUCCACCCACUCCCGAGCCUAGACCUGUUCCUCUCCAUUUCUGCCUCUGUCCAAGUGGUAGGAAGAAUGGUCACGAUCUGCGUUCUGCCUUUCUCUUCUAUUAUUAUUAUCCUUUCCUUUUCCACGACGACGUACAUUUGUUUGACAGAGCAUAUCGGACGACAGCAGAAAGAACACGUAAACAACACGGUAGCUGGAUUUGUGCGCGUGAAAGACCUUACUGUGGGCUGGAAAUUGGAAUAAGGAAAAUUGUACGUAUAUCGUUGACGAUAUCCAUUUCUUUUCUCUUAUAUAAGGUUGCAAAACGCAGCUCAAAUGGUGCAAGUACAAAAUCUUUUAUAAACAAAGCUUCCAUCUCCGCUCCAAAAAACCAGCAGAUAACACACUUGUGCUCGGGGUCGGGGGAGGGGGCCGGCUAGUGCAAAUGAAGCAGCUUCAGAAGAUGGCUCUCCUACAACUCUUGUUGGAAAAUAUUGUUCUCUUAUUACUGCCGCUGCUCGCUCUGACCUUUUCUUGCUGCGACGCGGCAACCCUGAAGCUGCACGCCCACCACGCGGACGGCGGCCUCAGCCUCAGCCGCCGGGAGCUGCUGCACCGCAUGGCCGCGCGCAGCAAGGCCCGCGCCGCGCGGCUGCUCUCGGCCUCGGGGAGCGCCCGCGUAGACCCGGGACCUUACGCCAACGGCGUCCCCGACACGGAGUACCUGGUGCACCUCGCCAUCGGCACACCGCCGCAGCCCGCGCAGCUCAUCCUCGACACCGGGAGCGACCUCGUCUGGACGCAGUGCCGGCCGUGCCCCGCCACCACCUGCUUCAGCCAGGCGCUCCCAUACCUGGACCUGUCCAACUCCUCCACGUUCGGCGUGCUCCCCUGCAACCAGCCCAUGUGUGACAACCUCGCCUGGUCGUCUUGCGGCAAGCACAGCUGGGGGAACCAAACCUGUGUCUACGUCUACUCAUACGGCGACAGCUCCAUAACCACCGGCCACCUCAACGCCGACACCUUCACGUUCGCGGCCGCUGAUGGCUCCGGCGGCCAGGUCUCCGUACCCGACCUGGCCUUCGGCUGCGGUCUCUUCAACAACGGGAUUUUCGAGUCCAACGAGACCGGCAUCGCCGGCUUCGGGCGCGGCGCGCUGUCCCUGCCGUCGCAGCUCAAAGUGGACAACUUCUCCUACUGUUUCACCGACAUAACGCGGCCGGAGCCCAGCUCCAUCCUGCUCGGCCUUCCGGCCAACCUUUACGGCGACGCCGGCGGCGUAGUGCAGUCCACUCCUCUGGUCCAGAACUUCUCGUCUCUGGAACUAUACUACCUGUCACUAAAGGGCAUAACCGUCGGCUCGACGAGGCUGCCGAUUCCGGAGUCAACGUUCGCGUUGAAGCAGGACGGGACGGGCGGCACGAUCAUCGACUCUGGCACCGGCAUGACAAUGCUGCCCCAGGACGUGUACAAGCUUGUGCACGACGCGUUCACUGCUCAGGUGAGGCUGCCCGUGGACAACGCCACGUCGUCGUCGCUCUCGCAGCUCUGCUUCUCGGUGCCGCGGCGAGCUAAACCCGACGUGCCACAGCUGGUGUUGCACUUUGAGGGCGCAACGCUGGCCCUGCCGAGGGAGAACUACAUGUUUGAGUUCGAGGACGCAGGCGGCAGCUUCACCUGUCUUGCUAUCAACGCCGGAGAUGGCCUGACGACCAUCAUCGGCAACUACCAGCAACAGAACCUCCACGUCCUUUACGACCUGGUGGGCAACAUGUUAUCCUUUGUUCCUGCUCGGUGCAACAGGCUUUAGAGGAGUAACGGAUAUAGAAUUUCACUACAUGGUAUGCCACGUUAAAAUUUUCGUUAUAUACACAAUAAGGUAAAAAAUCCAUUUAAAAUAUUCAAUAAAAAACUAUCCUGCAAAUCGGUAUUCAGAGUAAAAACUACCACGUUAAGUUUGACAAUUUAUAUAAAUUGUCCUUUCUCUAGUGCAGCCAUAAAUGAAAUGUUUACUUGUAUCACUAUAUUUAGAUACAUACAACAAUUUACGCUAGUCGUAGAAAAGUUUUAUGUAUUUUUCUUACCUAUUUGAACAUGUUUUCAAGACCGUGUUGGUUGAAAGUGAAUCAAUAUUUAUAUUUUUAUCUAGCACUAUUUACUCAAACUUGAGGAUUUUUAAAAUCAUAAAUACAACACAGAAAGUUAUCAAAACUGAGGGUUUUUACACUAAAAACCGAAGGUUUUUAUGAUCGAACCUAGAGUGAAUCCAUCAGUAUAUCGUGUGCCAUAUUUUUCGUAUGCAUAGUGAAAAAGGAAUCCCUUGAUUUAUGGUAUCCAUGACCCCAAGGAAAAAACCAAAUUACCUAAUCCGUUCACAUAACUAACUCUCCUAAUCAAAUCCCUUGAUUUAUGGUGGCUGCAAGAAUGUGGGGAUUGUUGAUUCGGAGUGAAUCAACAUUUACACUAUAUCUAACACUAUUUCAUACUCAAACUUAAGGAUUUUUACGAUCAUGAAUACCAACAUCUUUCAUGUUGGCUCGAUAUUUACGCUCGGAACUAAGGGUUUUUAUGCCAAAAACUGAAGGUUUUUAUGCUAGAACCCGAAGAUCCAUCCACCAUUGUAUCGCAUGCCAAUUUUUACGUCUACCAUAAUUUUUAGACCUGAAACCAAUCAACAAAAUGUACCGGCCACAAAAUGUGUCCCUUCCAUAAAAUCAUAUCUCACACGCGCGCCUGAUCAAACCGCCCAUAAUUUUUGCCACAAAAUUGCACCUGCCAUAAAAGCGCAUCUAGUUUCAGCGAGGUUGGGGGGUUGGGCCCGUAUUAGAACUUUUUAUCAAUUAUGAUGCAUGGUGUAGAUUUUUAUGCAAUUUUCUAUAUGGAUUUAUAUUUUGUGUGAUACUUGUCAUCUAUUUUUAACGCAAAUGCGGCGAAAACGAAAAUAUCAUACAAAAUUUGCCCGCAUGCAAUGAAAACACAUACAACAUGUUAUAAUUAUCGGAUCUACCAUAAAAAUAGAAACCGUGCAUGUAGCUGGUGGGGCAACAUGCCCACAUGCAUGCGCACACCUGGUGUUGGUUGGACGUAGUGCAGGAGGGCAACUGGGGCUUCCUGUAACAUUGGAAGCCUUGAACUCCCGAUAUACCCUCCUAAGAGCACCUAGAGAAGUGGUGAAUAGGUGAUCCUGCAAAAAUCAACUCUAAACAACACAAACUUGGUUUGUAAUAAGUGUUAGUGAAAACUAAAACCAAGUUAGAAUGAGAAAAUAGAUAGAGAGAGAACUCUUCUCUUGAUUGCUCCUUUAAGAUGUGUAUUAAACUUAGGAGUAAUAUUGCAAGAGAGUGGAGAACCCAUGAAGAUAGUAAUCACAAUAAGUAAAUAGACAAGUGACACAAUCAGAAUCGACGGGGUGGUUGUGGGGCCCAAAGAUGGCCAGGGCGGUGUGCAAGCAAACUUGCACGACCGAAGGCAGCAGCCACGAGCGAUGCACAACAAGUGGUGGAGGCCACUAGCAAGGGUGGGAGCGGUGGCUGAGGGCCAUUGUGGUAAGGUUACAUGCAGGAGAGGAAGGCGUCCGGGAGAAGGAUGUGGUGUAGUCAUGUUAACGAUAACUCCCAUCAACCAAUCUGACAGCCGAUAGAAAUUAAUUAAUUCUCAUGGACCUGACAGUGUGGUCGACGGGAGUUACCUUAAUUCUCAUCGACUUGGCGAAGGCAGAUAAGAAUUAUUUUAGCCGACAAGAUUACUCACGAUUCUUGUUGUGACUUGCAUGGCUUACUAUCCAAACUAUAUAAACAGAAAAUGAGAUGCCCUUAGCACCAAUACACUAAACCAUGUCUUUAGCUAACAUAGACUAGCAAUAUAGUCCUUACAUGGAAAAACUAAAGACCUAUAAGCUAAGAGGCACACUAGAACAAGCAAAUCUAGUUGUCACCAAAUUAGUUAAGGUAGACACAAGCACUAAGCAGGCCAAUCAACAUGAAUGUAAAUGUAAGAGGUAGAAAGGACAAGAAACAACUAACUUUUUCUCUCAUUGUAUCCAGGUGUUGCCACAUCCUCCUAAUCUAUGUUGAAGCAUCCACAAAGGGUUGAGCUCCUUUGAGUCACCAAGGCUCAUGCUUCACUAAGACCACUCAUUCUCCAAUUUGGAUUGACUAGUCACUAAUCUAAGAACAAAACACUUGUGCCUUCUAGUGAAUCUUCUCUAAUGGAGGGUGAAAGGAUGAAAUAAUUCAGAUCGUUGUCCCUUUGCUCUAUGCCUAUGAUUUGUUGGUCCAUCUAUGUCUAUAAUUUGAGGGUCUAAUGGCAAAUUUUUGAAGCCCCGCUGAUAAUAAUAGCAAAAUAGAAAAUCUCCUGUGAAAUGACUAAGAGUGUAGCCUAGAGGAUUGUGAAUAAGUGUUUCUAAAUAUUUAUAACUUAAAUGCAGAAAUUGUUCCAUGAGGAUUUUCUUGAAAAUCCCAAAUUAGAGCAAAUCAUCCCCUCUAGAUACGAACACUAUGUAUAUAAAAUAUAUUAAACAAUACCAAAAGACAAACACCAGCAACAAAAAUGGUUAGAGCAACAAAUAACAAAAACAACAUAGCGACUGACUCCCUCAUGAGUCACGACCUUAUGGUCGGGCCUCGCCUCUACGCUCGCUACCGGUGGCUGUUGGGCCCAUGCAUUGUCGCUCAUGGCUAUGCCAGCCCUAAUACCGCACUGCUCGUGGCCGACUCGGUAUCAAGUUGGCGUGACACCAAGUUAACUCAUGCCACCCAAGACUGGAUAUAGUAGAGGGCCACUGGGAUGGUGGCUCUAGGCCCCCUAAAUCUGGUAGGAUUCUUCUCUUGUCUUCCCUAUAUCGGUACCUUGGUUUUAACUCAAUAAAAAAAUCCAAAAAAAGUUAUGGUUGAUAUUACAAUUACAUCGUUGAAAGUAGAUUUGAAGAGCUUCAGACAUUCAAAAAUAUAUCUGGUUUCUUAUUGAGCCCAUAAACCUUAAAUUCACUAAAUGAGGUUGAGUUGAAAAAUUGUUGCACUAAGUUUGCAGAAAUAUUUUGUUUGCCUGGUUCAUCUGAUGUUGACAUAAAUGAACUAAUAUCUGAGAUGAGGAUUCUGAAUUUAAGUUUGCUAGAAACGUCAAUGUCUUCUAUGCAGAUUUUUUUGAGUAUAUUAAAAAGAUAGAUUCUUAUCCUAAAAUAUCUAUAUCUUAUCGGAUCUUAUUUAUCAUGUCUAUGAAUGUGGCAUCAGUUGAAACAAUUUUUUUCAAUUUGAAAUUGUUGACGAAUAAUUUAAGAUCUAUAAUGUCUCAAAAACGAUUGAACGGUCUAUCAAUUUUAUGUGUUGAGAAGAAAUUAUUGAAUGAGAUUGGUACCAACACCAUUAUUAAUGACUUUGCAUCAAGAAGUGUUUGAAGAAACUUUUAAGAUAUUAUAUAAAUAGUUUGAUGCAUUUUUAAUAUCAAGUUAGUUUUCGCUGAUAAAAAUGUAUGCAUAUAUAAAUAUAUUAAUUAAGUUAAAUUAUAUUUAUACAUAAGAAGUUUGAUAUUUGGGCCGAAUUUUUUGUAUUUUGUCCUUUUGUUGGAAAAAAAUUCACGUUUAGACCUUAAAAAAUUUUAAUGUCAUUUUUGGACCCUUUGCUCGGCGCCAUAGGCUAUGGCGCCGAGGUACGUGCUGCGCUGCCCCAACCCCGACGACGUGGCGCCGACGUGGUACCGAGCUCGGCGCCGAGCUCGAAUAUAUAACUACAAAGCUCUCUAGCUCAGUUGGUAGAGUGUAAGGCUCUUAACCUUGAGGUUGUGGGUUCGGGCCCCAUCGUCGCUGAUUUUUUUUGUUGUCGAGAUUUUUUUGUUUAUGCCGCUGAUUUGUCCAUCAAAAUUUAUUUUUCAUUUAGAUUUUUUUUUUGCUUCAUACGGUAAUACUUAGAUUUUUUUUUGCUUCAUACGAUUUUUUGACUGACGAGCAGGUAGUAGUCUAGGACUAGCUAGGUCUUGGAAGGAAGGGACGGAGCUUCAAACGACGAAAGCAAAUAUACAUAUGCUACUACUUCAAUCUUUUAGUACCUCUUUAGCUCUUUACUUUACGGUAAUACUUGCACCUAAAACCAUCCCUAAUUUCCUCUCCAUACUCCCACGUUAGAUCCAGCAUCUCACCUAUAACACUGCAAAUAAUACUACCACAUAUUUUUUAUAACAACUAUCAUGUCAGUAAUUAUAAUAACUACCAUCUAAUACAGUUAAAAAAUUCAUAAAUUAAUCAAUGCACUUACGUCUAACAUUACCGUCAAGUAAAUAAUUAGGCAAAUAAUAUUGAUACAACCAUCUAAAUAAUUAUGUAAACAAUACUACCAUGUAAUCCUAACAUCUAAAUAGCUAUGCAUGCUACUAAAUUUGUGUCCUUAUUAAGAUAUUGUGAAGCUACUAAAUUUGACAUGUCAUAUUUCAACUGCAGUACUAUAUAGUUAGCGCAUAUUCUUCUUGUUUCUUUUGACGCGUUCUCUGUCGACGGAAUCUGUGCAAAGGACGACAGUCGGUAGUUGAAGACUGAAACAUGAAAAAUGAUCUGAAAACGUCCAAACUAGCUGUGGACUUCGACACCUUCGCAUAUCCAAUCCGUACCCCCAGGAUUUUCCCCGUUUUUAUUGAGUUAUUAGCUACUGCUAGUAGAGGACGCAUAAAACAAAGUGACCAUUUAACUACUCUCUAGAAAGCAGUUUCUGCGCACAGUGGUACAUACACGGAGUGCUCCAAUAGAUUAUGUGCAUGGUCCUUGCGUCACGGAGUUUGAAUAAACAAAAAUAAAAACAAAAAAUAUCUAGAUGAAUAAACAAAUCAGUCGCAAAAACAAAAAAAAUCUAGAUGAGAAAUAAAUUUGACGGACAAAUCAGCAACAUAAACGAAAAAUAUGGAUAAAAAAACAAAUUAGUGACAAAGACAAAAAAACUAUUGAACGCUCACCAUGGGGCUCGAACCCACAACCUUAAGAUUAAAAGCCUUGAGCUCUACCGACUGAGCUAGAUGAGUUUUGUCAUUAUACAUCCGAGCUCGGCGCCAUAGAUCUUGGCGCCGAGCUCGGUGCCACGUCGGCGCCACGUCGUCUGGGUUGUGCCAGCGCAGCACGUACCUCGGCGCCAUAGCCUUUGGCGCCGAGAUGUGUUACCUCGGCGCCAUAGCCUAUGGCGCCGAGCAAAGGGUCCAAAAAUGACAUUAAAAUUUUUUAAGGUCUAAACUUGAAUUUUUUUCCAACAAAAGGAAAAAAUACAAAAAAUUCGGAUAUUUGGGUUCAUCUCUAAAAUAUCAGCUCGAUGCCACCGGGCCUGCUGCCUGCACACCCUUCUUCCUUGCAAGCAUACGCUAACCCGCUCAUCACACGUGGAUAGGAGUGGUAAUAAACUUUAAAUUGUAUACUAUAAUCAUUGUGUUCUAUUUCUAUUCAUUUUUAAAACAAAAUUUAUUAAUAGCUUUAACGAAUCAUAAAAAUUUAUUUGGAUCGUGAUCCAUUGGUAUAUCUCCAUCCAUUCUUUUUCCAAGAACGAGCUGAACCCGAAUCUACGUGGUAUAUUCCAUAGUAGGAUGAUCCCUAUCUCUGAUCGAUUCUUAAGCAAACACUAUGCUCAAGCAAGUUUAAUAAUAUAGCCAACUAUUGGCUAUAAAGUUUAUUAUAGUCAAUCUUUUAGUCUAUUCAUAUAAUGGUCAGCUCUUAACUAUUAAUACAGGACCAACUUAUUUCUCUCAGAGUUUCUUGGUUCACUUUUUUUUUCCCUCCAUCUCAGCCUACUUAGGCCCUGUUCGGUUGUUUAGGAUUAGAGCCCCGGAUUGAUUCCUAGCCGGAUUACUUCUCUAAUUUAUAUAGAUUUUGAUGAGCUGGAUUAAAUCCUGGCUUAUUCCGGUACAACCGAACGGGCCCUUAAGGACUUCUCUUAUUAUACUUGCUCUAAAGUGAAAUAUCCUAUCUCGGACCAUCCUAUCCCCAAACCAAACAAAGCCUGACCCCUACCGUUUUGCGUACGGAUUGACCUCUUCUGCUUUCAUUUUGAUAUUAUAUAGGAAGUUAUAAUGUAAGUCCAAAAGUACGUAUGAUCCGAUUGCCGCCAUCUUUUCAUUGCCAUUUUCCAAACACUGCCAUACUUGUGGCAAACGAGAUGCUAAACGCACAAGACAUGGGGCCUCGGCUUGUCGCAAGCAUAUUUUCUUUUCUCCUUUUUUUCUUUUUCCAACUUGAAUCAACAGUGCUACAGUCUACAGGACAGGAAAGAAACCAUGUUUGCAUAUCUCCUUGAAAGGCAUGUCUCCUUGAAAGUCCUUGAUCAGGCCGAUUACAGAAGGCAUAUUGUACAUCUGACUGCGAUACAACGACAAAAAUUGGUAAUGAAUCUCGUUGCGCAUCGAGAAUCUUUGCCAUGUAUCGACUCACCAGUCGUCAUCCCAUCGCACCCCAUGUUUAGCAGCGAGAUGGUAAGCAUUGAUAGGCCCUCUGUCCCCAGCCUCGUAGAGCUCAGGAACUACUCUGUUCUGAUCUAUCUCAUGGAUUAUCGGAGUGAGCACAUUCCAUGCGGCAGCCAGUUCGUCGCUGCGCAUGAAUAAAUGACUAUCUCCAUCUAGCACGUCCAGUAGAAGAUGUUCAUACGAAUCUGGUACCUCGGUGUUGUACCUACACAUCAAAGUUCAUGGUUUAAUGACAGUUCUAUGGAUAAAUCAUAAGGCGAUCCAAGAGAUCUCCAUACCUAUCCCGGUAAAGCAGGUUCAGUUCUGAAGCAUCCAGCUGGAGCCCAAGCCCUGGGACCUUGUUGUUGACUUUCAACAGGAUUGCUUCUUCAGGUUGAUCGCGUAGAACCAGCUCGUUUGUGUCGAGAUCUAUGUCAUGGCCAAAGCGUUCACGGUAGAUAUUACCAGGGACAUGGCGAAACUGAAUUCGAAUUUCUGCUCUGAAGGAAAUCAAUGAUUGGACUACUUCAGUUAUGCUUGAUCGAUUUGUCAGACGGUAGUUUUUUUCUAUAAAAACUGGUAAUAUUCUUUCAUAAAAAUGUGGCAACCUUGCAAAGGCUAUCAACAAAGUGAUCAGAACAGGGUGCACUACUGAAACAUUUGAUAGAACAGCAUGCUAUCUGCAUAUGAAUCGAUUCCUGAUUCUACCUUUUGAGAUGUUAGGUUAUAGAAAUGCAAUAAGAUCAUAACAGCACAGCGCGACAAUUAGUCAAUGAGGUGGCUGAAUUCAGAAAUUAAACUAUUAGGACAUUUCCUGAUAAAAGUUAUGAAACUCAUUUAACGUACCUAUUCGUCAUAAGUCCCAUGCCUGUCCUGAUAAAAAAUGGUACCCCAUCCCAGCGUGCAUUGUCAAUGUACAUAGCAGCAGCAAAAUAGGUUGGUAUCAUGGAUUUUGUGUAUCUGUCAACUUUACCAGACAUAUCUUUAAGUUGACCAAGAACAACAUCAUCAAGGUUCACUUUCCGAAUUGAUCUGAGAACCUUCACCUGCAUAAGUGGUAGUUCUUAUGAUCCUGUAUCAAAGCCAGCGCUUUCUAACUUCCAUCUAGCACAGUAGUGCCGAUUUCCUAUGUUAAAAAAUUAUACCACCUUACCUUUUCAUCUCGGAUAUCCUCUCCAUCAAGACUUACAGGUGGUUCCAUAGCAAAUAGAGCUAUUGUUUGAAGAAUGUGGCUGUGAACUAUGUCACGGAUUAUCCCAUAAUUUCCAAAGUACCUGCAAGGGCAUAUGGUUUUGAACUAAAUGAUCCAGAAUUAGAAUGCCGAAACAUGAAUCGGUUUUCAAUAAAGAGAACCAAGAUAAGAGAUAAUUUCAAAGGUUAAACAGAAGAGACUAUUGUAAAGUUCAAACAAACCUAAUAAUGACCUACUCACGCAGAGUUAGCCUAGAGUUUGUGAUAACAUGUAUGGUUUUAUAACAUUCAAUGCUGUUAAGGCAAUUCAAUAGGAUUAACUCACCUCCCUUGUAUUUCAUUUGAUGUUUCUUCAGAAAAAAUGACCUGACACAAUUCACACACAUUACUACAUGAUUCAUGUAUAUACAAGAUAAUAAAGCAUGUGCAAAAUGACUUUUGAAGUGUACCUGCACAUUCCGUAUGUAAGUUCGACUCCACAAAGGUUCAAACACCAAGUUAGAAAAUCUCAAGACAGUAAGAUUUUCGAUCAGAUCCUUCCCCAGAAGGUGGUCAAUCCUAUGGGAUAAAAAUGUCAAGCUUCGUAAUUGAACAAUCCAAAAAAGGGAAAACCAGCUAAGGUUGGAAGGAAUGUGAAUGGGUGUCUAGCUCAAUUGGUUAGAUGGCCUCAUUAGCACUCAAGUCCUGGGUUUGACUCCCCGUGGGACCAAAUUUUAUGUUGGAGUUAAGGUUGAAAGGAUUAAACAUUAAAGGUGGAAUAGUACCUGUAAAUUUGCUUCUCCUCAAACCUUGACAGCAUAGAUUGUGUUACCCGCAGUGAGGACAAACCAGUAAAGCCAAAUGGUUUCUCGAUAAUUAUUCUAUUCCAGCCUUGCUUAGUUUGGGCACCGUCAGCCAGUGGCAAUGCUACAUCAAGGAGUGCCUCUUGUGGAACAGCAAGGUAGAAUAUUCUGUUUGCAGCACCAAUGCCCUGUGAAACAAAAAUGGGUGUGAUGGAACUUAAUGAAUGGGAUUUCUAUUUCAAGUACCCCAAAAGAUUCAGAAACAGUUAUGAGAUCAAAUUUUACCUCUAUUUGUGACAUCCUAGAAUUUAAUCUAACCAUCCCUUCUUGGUUGUCAUGUCCGGCAUCUACAUAAUACGUCUUUUUGAGGAACUCAAUUAGCUUGUCAUCACAAUUUUCACUGCAUUCACAAUAAACAUCAGAACACAUUCUUCUUAGUUUGGUAAAGCCUUUUUUUCUACGACAGUAAAACUAUUUUUAAAAUGACAGAAAAACUAUGUUAGUGCAUGCACCAAAAACUUUGGAAGAAGCGAAGUGGUGUCAAGCACCAACCUAAACAACAGAUCGUUUGGUCUAAAACCAUGCUGUGCAGCUUAUUAAAGGCAUCAUAAGAAUGGGUUGGCUAUAAUAAUUAUUUAUAUUAAUCUCAAAGCUAUAAAGGAAAUAGUAUAGAUACUAAAUGUGGUGCUAUUUUUUUAUUUUGUCAAUGCAACUGCCAUCACAAUAAUUAUCAUAUGGAAAGUUGCCAAAUAACAUACUGGUGAUCCACCCGGCAGGUCAAAUUGGCUUCAAUUAUAGAUCUUAAGCCCUCAUCUGUCAAUUUCUUCCUAGAAUACCCAAAUAUACCAACAUUCUGCAGCAUAAAAAUGAAAAUGAAAGGUGUGACAUGAAAAUGACAGUAGCAGAAGUUAUUCUAUGUUCAUACCCGAGGAAGAAAACCACUGUAAUACAGAGCAAAUAAUGCUGGAAAAACUUUAGUUCUUGCCAGCUCACCAGUAGCUCCAAUUACAGCAAUGCAAAGAGAUGGUUCAUUGUUAGAGCGUCUUUUGGACACAGCAGACUCUUCCUUUUGAACAUGAGAACUGAUUUCAGAGAUGAUGUGUCCCGGAACCACUGGUUUUUCCUGAACAGUUGAACUAUCCAAAGUAUCAGAGCUUGUGUUGGCCAUUUCACCUCCAGAAUCUGCAUAAAGGGGAAACAGUCAGGGCAACAUGAAAGCAUAAAGACAAAAAUUGCCAAGAAGUUUGCAGUAAAAAGUAGUUGUAAGAUAAUAUGACGAAGAAAGUUUCUCUUGAGCAUUUUUUUGCUUAUAAUGCUAAUGCAAAUUGAAUGUAACUAUCAAAAGUAUGAAGCAAUCCAGUGUCAGCAGCACUGACGAAAUCAUAAGGCAUUAAGACAAUAAUGACAACUGUGAUAAGCACAUCUGCACAUGCAAAGUAACGGACUCAAGACAACGGAUUUCCCAAUAGAGUGACAACCAUAAGCAAGAUGCAUGUUCCAAUGACUUCUCUUUUCAGUCAGAGAUGCAGCCUCCAAGCAAUCUGGAACGUUAUCAUUCCCUCGAGCAUCUAGAUUUCUUUGAAGUUGCCAUCCGUGAUGCCUUUUCAAUGCCUUGCGGAGUUUCAGCUUUGCAGCAAUCCAGCACCUCAAUCCACAAGCUUGCGUUCUGAAACUUGGAGCAGGUCUUGCAACCUAUGUAAAGAAGCAUCAAGUAGAAAGAUCAAUAGAUGAAUAUAGCAAUGUGUAACUACCAAAUAAUGUAAGCUAAGAAACUCCAUCCCGUCAUCAAUGCCUAAUAAAUCGGAUGUGAUAAAUUUGUCUGUCAGCCACCGAAUGCAAAGCAAUUUUUGCAAGACUUCAAUUGGCCAAUGGUGGGGAAAGGGAGACAAGUUUUUUAUUCAUGUACUGCACAACGUAAACAAACAUAGCAUUCAAACCAACAAACAAUCUGCCCCUGUGUAAUGGAUUGACUAUUGAUGCAACAACAAUUCCAUCAACCAAGCGUGUGCGGUUCAUAUCAAACCAGCACACCUUUUUAUGUGUACCACAUUUCUCGAAUAUCCAAACAGGAGCAUGUUGAUACGUCACACGUUCAAUUCAAUGUGGCCUAGGGCUGAAAAAAAGCUUGAGGUUCGCGAGCCGGCUCGAGCUCGGCUUAGAGCGACUUGCGAGCCGAGCCAGGCCAGGUUUUCAAGCUCGUUGGUCCAACGAGUCGAGCCAAGAGCCGAGCCCGUCGUUCCGGCUUGCGAGCCGGCUUGCUGGCUAUACAAAAUUAAUCAACCAAUAUAAUAAUGAUAGAUAUUAGAUAAUUUUAUAGCUAUCUGACUCAUUCCUUAGCCUUUGACGAUGAAUAUAAGACAAUUUAUAAUUUAGAUUACUUAUAGUGUUAAAUGAUAAUUAUAAUUUUCAUAUUUAUAUACUAUUAAGUCAUUAUAUAAUGCAAUUUUAUUUAUUAGGGUGCAGCUCGUAAGCCAUACUUCGAGCCAAGACUCCUUCAGCUCGUUGAGUGGGCGAGCUGCCCUAAUGCGGCCCCCCAACACACACACACACCACCUCCGGCACCGGGGAGGGAAGGAAAUAAAACAGCAUCAUAUGGAACCCGUGGCGAAAACGCGAUCAUGGAUGAUGCUAUAAACUUGCGUUGCAGAGCCAAGAAGGGCAGAAAGGUUCACUAGGAUCACAAGCUGGCACUGGCAAAGCAAAGCCUCGCCAUCCCACUCCGUGAAUCUGCAACGGGCACGUAUUGCUCCAGAACGCUACCGCACCAGCGGCAUGCGAAUUGGUUGAUGCAUUUCAUCGAGCAAGCUAAGCGCGCAGCGCCGGAAGGAAAGAAAACCAGCACUUCUGCAUCCUAGCACCGACCAGGGAUACAGCACCACAGCCGCUCGUGGCGAGUACUCACCGGGGUUAAGCGCGAGGUCGCCAACGAGAACGGCGCCGGAGCUGCGGACGCCGACGCGGCGAGCCCUGGCAUCUUCGGCGCUGUUCGACUGCUUGGUGCUGCGGUACUUGCUGACUUGGCUGCUCCCUCCGUCAGAUCGCCUCGACCAAUACUGGGAACCAGGAAGUGAAGAAGACUUAAUUGCUCAUGGCAGCUCGUGACGGGGAAAAUGGAUAGCGACAGUGUAGCGAGGCUGGGGCCGCCGUCGAAGUUGAACCGCUGUAGCUUUACAUUACACGUCGACGACGUCGUGUAUAGAGCAAUUGAUGGAAUUCUUGGCUAACCGCCAGGAGCCCAGGAUGCUUUACCAGAAUUUGAUGGAAAAUACCGGAAUUCCCCAGGAAUCGAAAGCAUAUGCACUUCUUCGAUGCGUUAGAAAAAGUUCGAAUUUUGCCUAGAUAACUUGUGAAAGAAAUGUUUACAGAAUCCUCAGUCAAAAUGUGUACUAAAUUUUAAUGUCACAGAAUUCAUCCUAAAAAAUGCAUAGCAAAUGUUACCAUCAUAACCGUAGCACGUUCAAUUCAAUGUAUCACUGUUUACAGAGUAGAGCUUAAUAUGAGACUUGCUAGAGAUAGUCCAGGGAGCUCCUAGAAGCACAAUCCCCGAUAGCCUCUGGUGAAUCCCUACAUCUCUCCUGAAUCUUUCUUUGUUCUAUAUACCCCAAAAAAGGCACUUACAACCGAAUAUUCAAAGCAACAUAACAAUCUAUAACAAUCUUCUGCUGCUCGUUUCCAACCAAUAUAGAUUCUGGAUAUCCUUCCAGGCUUCCAGCACUUAUGUACUUCUAUUUUUAUUGCUAAUACAAUUGUACAAUAUGCCAAUAACAAAUUCAUGAUAACUUACAAGUUAAUCCAAGCUUUUCCCUAAAUUGUACAACACUGGAGCACAAUAUGAGACCAGAAGAUGUUAAUACAACUUGUACAGAGAGGACUGAUCCUCCAGUCAUCUGCAAAUGCUUUGCGAGUUUGCAGCCAGCAGUCCCACAUUCACAGAUCAGUUCAUCGAGUGACCCCAACGGGGGUGAUGUUACUCUCGUGGCCUAGCAAGCCAAAGAGAACUCAGUGCGCGCAAACGUGAAAAGUAGUCAUGGAUUGCAAGAAGCGCACGAGCAGCUUGUCGGAUUGUCAGGAUACGUUGCAUCUGAUGUAAGGUCUGCUGUCGUAGAUUGUCAGCCUAACGAUAAUAGAACACCAAAAGUCUUCAGAGCUAGGAACACCAAGAGCUACAUACAUAUAUUUCUUAAAAGUAGAGAAAAUGUAUCGAAUCAAAUGACAUGAUCUCCCUAUGACAGUCAACAACAGAAACAACAAAACUAAAUGUUUGCCAGGGUUGGAGGUAUCUGAAAAGUUUACCUGGCGAAGGAAAUUCUCGAGUGUGCCAAGUUUUCCCAUGGCCAUAGCCAUUUGACCCAUAUAGUUUGCCACGUUUCCAGAAGAUCCUGAUGGACCAAGGGACCCAGCCAGCGUUUCUGCCAAGGACUGCUGCAAUGCUUCCAUUCCUUGUGACAAUGCAUCCUCAGCCUGCUGAGAAGAUUGCUGCAGAUUGGACAGCCCCAUCAAUUGCUGCUCAGUUAGAGGCUCAAGCUGAUUCACAAGGAGCUGCAAUUUUACAAAAGUGUAAGGAAUAGUUCAUCUUGAAGCAGAAACAUCCAUUGAAUGGUACGGAUUAUAAAAUAAAAUAAAAAUUCACGCCCUACUAAGGAAAAUACUCCUGCAAUAGGCUAUAAAUGUAAGUUGUUUUGGGCAUCUACACAGCACUCUUGUCAAGGAAAAUAUAUUACAGUUACAAACUGGUAAAAGCCAUUGGAUGUGACAACAGCAUGCAGGACCUUAAGAUUCAUGUCAUCAUGUCAUUGGUACAUUGGGGGAUACCUUGUAAAUUACAGUCCUGACAUCUGUAAUGAUAUUGAAUAAUACCAAAAAGAAGUGGACAACUGGACAUUAUGGAAGUAGUUGCACUGAUAUAUAGGUGAUAACAGCCCUUACAAAUUGGUGGUGGUGGUGAUGUGUGUGUGUUGCGGUGGUGAUGUGUGUGUGCGUUGAGGUGGUGAUUAUGGUGUGUGGGGUGUCAGUCAUUUUGAGGCAGGUACCAAGACUAUUUGAAAUCAAAGGUGGUUUCAUAUAACUUGAUCUAUAUCAUAUGCAUGCACCUUUAGAAGCUCAGACGAACGGAAACCCCCAAGCCACAAGAAGCACCUUUCAGCAGAUGUUUUCCACAUGCCUGAAAGUAUAUGGAACACAUCAGCCUUUGCAGCAAUGCCCUUCAGCCUGAAUAUCUCGUCAUAAUGUGCCAUUAUCCCAUCGACUAUAAGACGGAGGUCACUAUCACUUGCAUGAGCAUUUACUGCAGUCCUCAGCUCAUUUAUCUGCUUAUUUUGUUCCUCUUGCCAUCGAGAAUAUUCUAAAUCGAAGGUCAUAGCUCCUGCAGAGAUGAGCUUACUUCGUCAGCUAUAAUCCUUUGAAGCACUUGAGCAUUACAAUGAUGUAAGGUUGCAAAAAGCAAUUACAGAAAGGAUGUGUGGGGGUGUGCAUGAGAGAGAGAGAAAUUUUACCAUUUCCACUCAUAGUAUGAGUUUGAUCUCCAGAACUAGAAAUGAAGAUUCCCUACAAUUAAUAUCCAAGCAAUAAAAUUAAAAGAACCAUUUGAGACCUGUCAGCAAAAAAAGUGUCCCCAGUAUCAACCAAAUAAACACACCUGCUGUCGAGCUUUCUGGAGUUCUUGCUCCAGGCUUGCAAGUUUUAGCUUACUGCUCUCUAGCUGUUGCACAUAUGCCUUUGAAAACAAUAAAUAUUAGAAAGGGCUUUUAGCAAAUAAAUAAACCUGAAAGUGAACAAAGAAAAACUAUUGGACACACUUCAAUCUACAUAAUCCGAACUUCCGAAGUUCUAAAUCAUACACACUUGCAGGCUAUCCAAGUAACUGCAUCACCAUACAGUACUAUCUCCCUGAUGCACGAAAUCAAACUUAUACAUACUACACAAUCACAAACCAUGGGAUGACAGGAAUUGACACUGACUUGGGCUCACAUCUCUCUACAUAACACAUUACCACCCAGCAUCUGUGUUGUGUGCAUUUGUAGAAAAAACCAAUAUGGACUUCUCUUUUUUUCCUUGAACGGACAGGAGAGCUCUGUAUCAUUAUAUUAAAGGCAGAGUUCUUAUUUUCCACAAAGUUACUUAAGUUAUUCUUAGACGCAGAGUUGUUUUUCGUAGAAGCUCAUGAAAAUGUGAAAGCAUAUAAAUAGUGGUAAAAUAAAUGUGGUAUCACAUACGGCGCACGUAAAUUGGUACAAUUUAGGCGAUUUCAAAAAUUAGACUUAUAUAGGUGUCAACGUUCAAGAGUUAAUGUAUCAAUCUGAUGAAACCUAAUUAUUUGCCUAAUUUUGUAAGGUGAACAUUAGGGUAUGUAGUUGACAGGGACAGAUUAAAGCUCAAGUAGAAUGGACCAUGGUUUGCUUCACCCCUGAUGACAACUAGGCAGAUAAACCUCAGUCCUGAUUCACACUAGUGCACAUACAUGCAUGCAUCAGGGAGUGACACACUGCACCAAAAAUGUAGGAAUAGAUCCCAGGUGUACACAGUCAUGCUAAUAAUACCUUUUUCCUCAGCCGGCUUUUUCUUGCUGCCUCACGAUUUUGGGCAAGCCGUCGUAAAACCUAAAGAAUACCAAAUGCAUCAUCUAGAUACCAUCAUUGUGAAAUGGUAACAAACACUAAAGAGUACAGAGAGAUAGGAGACAAAAUUAAUACCUUCUGGUCCAUAGGUUUGUCAGAUCUGUCAGACCGGUCAGAUGAAUUAGAAGCCGGGACCAUGGCUCCACUCUGUCCGUUUUCUAACUGCACAGGCCAGUUAAGAUAAGUUGCAGAAAUUCAUUGUUUAUGCAUGAAACUAUAACGUAAAGGAAAAAUAGCAUGAAAUGGUAUAUAGAUGGUCGUUUUUUUAAUUGGAAUACAUAGAUCAUAGAUGAGUGGAAUAAGUAACAUACAAUAACAUCACAAUGACAUUACCACUUUACAUGCAUCUCUCCAAGACCUGUACCAUUAGAUGUCCCACAGAGAGAAGUUGAAAUUUCGUAAAAUAAUCUGACACAAGUAACUAAAAUUAGGAGAUUGUCCAUUGUACCUCCAAAGGCCCCAAGGCCAAAAUCAAAAUUUUCUAUCAACUAGUAAUCAAUUUUCUUCACAGAAUUCAAACGUAAAAUAGGCAAGGAUGUGCUUAGUGUGAACAAAAGUUGCAACAUCAUUUAAUGCUUGCAAACUCAAAAGCAAAUCUAACAAAUUUGGAGCUACAUGCAAACAACUUGUUGCCAAACCAUAAUACAAGAUCAGUAACAGAUGAAACAGAUAAAAAGCAAGAACAGGAAGAAGGAAAAUACAAGAAAAAUAACUUGUUUCCUAUGGAUUUAGACCAUCUCAAAUCACCAAGUGGCUUAUAGGGGUUAAUCCAUCCAUACAACAUCCUUAUUGUCAUGGGGCGGCAGCCCAGGGCAUGGAGGCCCAUAGGGAUAGGCUCAGGGUUAGGAUUAGUUGAUAAAGAUUAGAUUAGAUAAGAUUGAGUUAGUUACUUGGGAUUAGAUUAUAUAAGAUUGAGUUAGUUACUUGGGGGCCAAGUCUUUCUAUCUAUGUAAGGAUGGGUUGUACCUCCUCAAGGGGGAUCAAUCAAUGAAGAAUUAGUCCCAGAUCUCUCUAAUACUCUAGUCCCACCCACCCCCAAGCCAACUCCGUCCGGCUAUCUUCCUGGCGCUGUUUAUCCCGUUAUGAACUAGGAUUCAUAACAUCUUGUAUCAUGAGUCAAGGAUCCUUUACUGUGACUUCUGCUGCGGACGAUGUACGUACUUGGCGUGAGGAGCUCGCUCGUGCCAGGGCAAAUCUGGAGCAGGCCCGAUCUGCUAUCCUCCAGUUCCGUGAUCUACUUGCGGCAAAGGUGGAGUCUGACCGCCGAUCAGCGGCGACAACACGACUGCACGUGGCUUCCUGGUGCGGGGGUCCAGUGCGGCAAGUUGCGGCAGCGACGCGGCUGCAGGCAGCGGCUUGCUGUCUUCAGGCUGCGGCACGUGGAGUCAAGCACGGCAAGCGGCAGCGCGGCUGCAGGCAUUGGCUUGUCGUCUUCAGGCUGCGGCACGUGGCUUCCUAGCGCGGCGUCAAGCACGGCAAGCGGCGGCGCGGCUGCAGGCUACAGUUCGUUGUUCCCUGGCACAGCGACUUGCAUCGAUAUUGCGUGUCCAACAACACGCGACACAUAGGGCGGCAAGGCCUUCAGCAGGGUUGGCCGAUCCUGCACUCCAGCUCACCGUCCUGAUCCAUAGCCAUGUGGACAGCAAGAAUACGCCUGUUUGGGUGGCUGUCUCCACUGGAAGUCUGGAACUCGCGGUAGCUCAGGCCGUAGGACUGGUGAGCUGCCACGUCCGUGCCUUUGCAGCCUGGACGAGGUUGUUCCCAUGGCAUCCAGGGGGCCAACCUUGGCAUAUGUUAGGUUCUUUAUUUUAUUUGCAAAUAAAUUAAAAUCGAGAUGUAAAAGGCUUGUAGUUAGGGUUGCACUUUCACAUGCAUAUCAAGUUAGACAGCAAGGCUGUUACCAUGCACCCCAUUACAGCUCGAGGACGAGCUGUCUUCAAAGGGUGGGGGAAUGUAAUGGGGCGGCAGCCUAGGACAUGGAGGCCCAUAGGGAUAGGCUCAGGGUUAAGAUUAGUGGAUAAAGUUUAGAUUAGAUAAAAUUGAGUUAGUUACUUGGGAUUAGAUUAGAUUAGAUAAGAUUAAGUUAGUUACUUGGGGGCCAAGUCUUCCUAUCUAUAUAAGGAUGGGUUGUACCUCCUUAAGGGGGAAUCAAUCAAUGAAGAAGAAUUAGUCGCGGAUCUCUCUAAUAAUCUAGCCCCCCCCCCCCCCCCAAGCCAACUCCACCCGGCUAUCUUCCCCACGUUGUUUAUCCCGUUAUGAACUAGGAUUCAUAACACUUACUUUAGUCAAAGUUUCAUUUAUAGAGAUUAAUAAUAUUCAAGUGUUCAUACUUUAAGGCACUUCAAGUGAAACUUCCCACUUCAUGAGACCAAUAACACAGAUUGCCAAAUUUAAAGGCUGAUAUCUAAUCUGUAUCUAUUUCGUUUGACGUGAGAGCGCAAUGUUCUGAAAAUGAUUAAACAGACAUGGCAAAAAAAGUUAUGUGCAUCAGAGAACAUGAGCUCAACACAUCAUUUAUUGGACUUCGCAUCCUAUUAGACUACUAGAAAGAUCAGAGUCAAGGCACAGUACCAACAUUAUGCUAUCAUCCCCUAACAGUUCACGAAUGAUCAAUCAUAAAGAACACAACAUAUAACAGAUGGAGAAAAGAGGGGCUACCCUUUGAUUCUUAUCAUCCAUGUCUACAACAGUCGAGGUGUCAGUCCUCGAACUAGCAUCUGCCAUGCCGAGUGCUCGCCAGCUCCUAAGAAUGAGACAACAAAUUGCUUUGUUGUCUCUUUUUCACUUUCCUUAUGAUAGGCUGACAAGCCAGCCUGCAGUUAGCACAACCCACAAUCCAGUGAUCCACCCACUGGACAGAGAAGCAACCUAUCCAUUACAAGAAACAAAUUUCCAGGUACAUCAGCAGCAUAAUAAAUGAUAUAAAGGUACAGAUGGCAAAAAUGAUAGUCCAUCUAAGCACUGGUGUAUUGCUAACUUUAUCAAAAACAGCAAAUGGUCAGAGUUAACUGCAUGUUCCCAUCCUGGAAAGAUUAAGAAAAUGCAUCUAGCUGCAGUUAACUGAGAAUCAUGGUGGUGACACCUUCCCAAAUGCCACCUCCUGUCAAUAGCAUCUUGUAAUUCCAAAGAGGCAAAGACAAUAGGUACAGCACCACAUCAUGUGGACGCAUGGCAUGCAAAACAACAACAAUGUUUUUUUAGUUUCAAACGUUAAUUACUAGGCAUAGUCCUAAAUUUCCCAGCUCAUGCGAUUAUGCCCCAGCUUGCUGAAAGCAAAGGACAUCCUAAAAAAUCAUAACCACGAGUUCAAUCAUCGAUGAGUAUAGCUACAGUAAAUUUGGCAAUAAGUCAAUAACCCAUUCACUCACACAAGAAAUAUACAAGAUCAGAAAGUGCUAAUAAAUUAGAGGAAGCACAUAGAAUACAGGUGAUCAAGAGAACAAGGGUCUGAGGGAGGAGCUCAGGCAGCUCAUGCAGGUUCGAAGGAGGUAGCCUGGAAGCCGACAGAGCAGCUUUCAUUAAUUCAGCUCGUAACGGGAAGCCGAAGUGAUGAGACACCUCCCAAAUGAUAUUGCCUUAUAGUAGCGCCAAGCUCUCCAAAGCAAGUACGAAACGAGGACAACAGGGCAACACAGUGACACAGGGCAGGGGACGACUCGGAUGUGGGGUAUGGGGUUUGAAUUCCAAAUUUCUCCGUAUUUCAGAAAAAUAAAUGCCCGCGCACCUCGGCUACCACGAAUCGUUGUGUUGUGUAAACUGAUAUUGAUCUUUCGCUAUGGAGUAGAAGAACCUAAUCGAACCGUGCAUGGAUAGAUUAUCACGCUAGGCUGCUACUGCUCUCAGACAACAAAUCAGUAACAAACUGAACACUCGGAAUCGGAAUCCUUCCCUACAGCAAACAAAAGAAGCUCCUAAGAGUUAAAAGAAUCAACCCAGCAGCUAGGGUUACUUACCGAGAUGAAGAAAUCGAACCAGGUCCGGAUGGAUCUCCACUCCGCGCAAGUCCACUGCCAGCAGAGGAGGGCGAGGAGCAGGUGAGCAAGUGCUCUCUACGAGAGACGACUUUCGGAGCGAAGGGCCUGGCUUAGUUUAUCUGGUCGCCGGCGGUUAGGUCGCCGAUGACGAGGCACCAAAAGCUGUGAUGGGGUGAAGCAAAGCAAGUUCUAGGCAGGGAAGGGAUGGAAUUAAGGCAGAAAUCAGCGAAGACGAGUAGCAAAGAGUAGGAAGAGCUGGAAGAAGGCUGCACGGGGAUUUCUCCCGCACAGUGGAUCGGGAAAGCCGCCACCGCUCCGUGACAUCACACCGUGGACUCACACGCGAUGGUGGGGGAAGGAAAGCCGCUGCAGGCUGCAGCAGCAGAGCACGUCUCCUCGCCUUCCUCGUUUGCUGGUUUCACAAAAACAAUUUCUG
This 63346-nucleotide long non-coding RNA is filed under the name Zea mays. RNAcentral describes it as "long non-coding RNA (ZMAY_LNC005619)". The stretch from base 47677 to 47749 matches the Rfam family "tRNA". The record is from RNAcentral. Lineage: Eukaryota; Viridiplantae; Streptophyta; Magnoliopsida; Poales; Poaceae.